Molecule: long non-coding RNA, 88387 nt
Filed under: Gossypium barbadense (sea-island cotton)
Lineage: Eukaryota; Viridiplantae; Streptophyta; Magnoliopsida; Malvales; Malvaceae
Description: long non-coding RNA (GBAR_LNC015946)
Rfam family: tRNA (bases 10960-11041)
Source: RNAcentral
CUGUUGAGGCCUCUCACCUCUAACUGUAUGAGAUAUGCUUUCUUGGGAUCUGUUUCUCAUAUACCAUCCCUUAAAUUCAUGCCCUGUCAUUGUAUUCUUGGGAUUCCUUCCUUUUCCCCCCUUCUUCUCUGAGCCUAACUGAUAUAUUGUUUCAGCGUGCUGGGGCAGUAUUCCCCCCGAGAUCCGAGAGGUCCGCACCUGUAUUUACUCCUCCUCAAACACAACCUUUGUCUUCUUAUCCCCAAAACAUUCGCAAUUCUGGUCAGCAAGAGACGGCUGAGCCUUCUGCAAAGCCUGAGUUCCUAAGCCUGAGGUAAUUUUGUUGUUCCUCAGUCAUUUGAGUGGUAAAAACAUGUUGAUUGUUCGUGUUUACCAUUAUUAGUAUUAAAUUCUAUCGUGGCCUAUGUUUCUUUUUCAGAAAAAAAAAAAAAAAAAAAACCCUUCCCUUUAUGAUGUUCGGUUUAGAAAUUGUGGUACAGUAAUCUGUUUAAGUGAAAGUCUGAUGCUCAUAAUAAAUUCUUAUUAUCAUUAUCUAACAAAUAAAUUACAAAUCUUAUUGACAUAUGUCAAAGUGGGUUUUCAUUAAUAAGGAGACUCUUCCAUUCUAUUUGGUGCGUAUGGCUAAUUUUUAAUAUUUUCUAAUGUAUUAAGGAGUAAUUGUCAAGGCAAACCUCUUAUUCACCCCUUAAAUGGACCUUUUUUAGAGAGAACUAGGGCCUUGUCAGUUAAAAUUUCCUAUUUGUUUUAAUUUCUCAGUUUGCUCUUAUUCUGUUCCAUUAUUUAUAGUGACUUUAUUUUGCCAAUUCACUGUGUCCAUGGUAUAUUAUCACUUAUUCACUGCAUCUGGUCUUCUUUUAACUGGAGUUAAUUUAUUAGUUUGACAGAAAUUCAGAACGCACGAGGUAUUAUGGAUGUCCUUGCAGAAAUGCUAAAUGCUUUAGCUCCUGGGAACAAGGAGGUAUUGUCCACAAUUUGAAAUAGAAAGGAAGGCAUUUUGUUUACUUGCUAAAAUGACACUUCCCACAAGCAUAAUGAUGUAGUUUCCAAGUGACAAGUCAAUAACUGAUUUACCGAUUUAAAGCGACUAUUGAAGUCUUGAUAUAACUGACAUUUGUGUAAUAAUUUCGUUGUCAAUGCUCAAAUUCAUCAGUAUGUGAACCUGUUUCUGUGUAAACUUUAUGUUUUUCCAGCUCUUAUGAUUAAAAGCUGCUAAUGAAGCCAUGAAGUUUCAUGUCGCUUAACCUCUUCUAAUCUUUAAUGAAUUUCUGUUUCUUUUAGAUUCAUUUUCGAUUUGCUUAUUUUGUCUACAAUUUCAGGGACUUAGGCAGGAGGUUAUUGCUGACUUAGUGGAUCAGUGCCGUACUUACAAAUUAAGAGUUGUACACCUUGUUAAUUCCACAUCGUAAGGAUACUCACUUUUACUAUAAUUUCCCAGUGGCCCUUAGUAAUUGUGUUAUAAGUCGAUGACUCUUUGUUCUCAUCUAUUUCCAUGUUCCUGCCAUUCUUGUUCUGUGUGUUCAUUUAUGAUUUCUGUUUGUACUGCCUAGACUUAGUGUGUUAUUUCAAUAUGCUUGAUAAAAUGCUUGACCAAUUUGAAGGAGUGAGUUCACGAUGAGUGUUGAAACCAAAGGACUGUUUUUUUUUUUUCACUUAUAAUGUCUUGGUUCUAUGGGACAAGAUGCCAAAGCAGCCUGUGAAGGAUUUUUACCUCUCUUUGAGUACCUCAAUGAAUAUCUUUAUGUGCAUUCCAAUUAAAUUUCCGUGAUAUAGUCACUUAUUCAGGCAUGUAUGGCGUAUGAGUUGCGUUGUUAUUUUGUUUUUUACCUUUAUGGAAUAGUACAGAAUUCAUUGCAAUGUUUCUAUAUUCAAAACAUCUUAGGUUUGAUUCUUUAUCUCUUUUAGGGAUGAGUCACUACUAUGUCAAGGUUUAGCAUUGAAUGAUGAUUUGCAGCGAUUACUGGCAAAACAUGAAGAAUUAGCUUCAGCAACUUCUUCUCAAGUAGGCAAACCUAAGCCUGAACCUGCAAAAGAGCUUGCGAAUGUUGAUGGUCCCCUACUCAAUACAGGUGAUAGCAGCAAGCGCUCUGAUGGGAGGUAAUUAGCCUUUUUUGGUCUAGAUUAUUAUAUGCAGGAAUGUGGUAACUAGAAUUAUUGAUUUUUUUGUGUCACUACAGGAAAUGAUAGAAUAAUAAAUUGCAUGUGCUGCAUGUCCUAAUCUUUACUGGUGCUAACUAAUCAUGCUCUUGUCCUCAGCAUCCUGGUACUCGGAUUACCUGUUUCUUUCUGCUAUUUGAUUUAUUUGUUUGGAAGAGUCCUCGGUAGAAUUAUCACACUAGAUUUUCAUUGUUGAUGCUUGACUAGUUGAAGUUGGAAACCUUUUCAGCAUUCUUAGAACUAGUUAUUAGUAGUCUGUUUCUCUCUGUUGGGAGUGACUGAAAUUGCUUAUCCAAUUUUAAGCUGCUAGGAUUGACAUUGAAGUUCAUUAUAUACUGGGUUAUCUAAAUCCCUUGAUUAGAUGUUUGCAGUAGCUUGAGCUAACUAACAGGAUUUCUUCACAGAUCUACCUCAAGCAAUGGUGCAAGUUCUCAACCAUUUAAUCAGUUAUCGAUUCCUGUGGCUCCUGAAACUAAUGGUUCAACUCUCCCAGCUGCAGUGAAUCCCAAAAUGGAUCUGCUUAGUGGUGACGACUAUUCACCCAAGGCAGAUAACACACUGGCCCUUGUUCCUUUGGGAGAACCACAACAAACAACUCCUGCAUCACAGCAGAAUGCUCUUGUUCUCAUUGAUAUGUUCUCUGAUAGUAAUAGUACCUCUGGUUCUCCAAAAAUCCAAUCUUCUGGUUUGGCUGGACAAACCGAUCCUUUGACUCCUCAAAUUCAGCAGCAGCAGCAGAAUUUUCAUGCGAAUGGAACUGUAUCUAACAUGGGAUCACCUCGAUAUGAGCAGUCAUAUGUUCAAGGGAUGGGUCAUGCCUGGAAUGGCCAGAUGGCUCAGCAGCAGCAGAAUUUUCAUGGGAAUGGAAUUGUACCAAACAUGGGAUCACCUCGAUAUGAGCACUCGUAUGCUCAAGGGACAGGUCCUGCCUGGAAUGGCCAGAUGGUUCAGCAGCAGCAGAAUUUUCAUGUGAACCGAACUGUAUCGAACAUGGGAUCACCUCGAUAUGAGCAGACAUAUGCUCAAGGCACAGGUCCUGCCUGGAAUGGUCAGCUGGUUCAGCAGCAUCAUCAGAAUAACUUUUAUGGAAAUGGAAGUGUAUCAAACAUGGGCUCGCCUCGAUAUGAGCAGUCAUGUGCUCAAGGCACAGGUCCUGCCUGGAAUGGCCAGCUGGUUCGGCAGCAGCAGGGCCACUUACCUGUCUAUGGUUCGUUUCUGUUUGUAAUAGGCUUUUUUCUACAAACUGGAGUAUUUUUACUUUUGUUACACUCACACACCAUUCUUGUUUAGGGAGAGAUAUAAUAACAGCAUGCCACAUUUCAAAUCAUUAAUAUACAUCAUCGUGAUCUUUCUCUUACCAAAUUCAUGUAGAUAUAUCUAGGCUUAGUUGCCUGGGUGAAUAGUUAUAUUCUUGCUGCUAAUAUACUUAUUUCAUGUUGAGAAGGUGCCCAGAGUAGUGGUUCACUACCACCACCACCAUGGGAAGCACAGGCAGCAGACUCUAGCCCAGUUACAGGUGCUCAGUACCCCCACCAAUCAGUGGUUACUCAAGUUGUUGUAACACAUACACUUCCUCAAAGACCUCAGCAUAUGGGAAGUGAUCACGUGGUGGGGAUGUAUAUUCAGCCAAUCACAAAUGGUAAUUUGUCAGCAAUUAAUAACCAGGUUGUUCCCAAAAACCAGUUUUCUGGUUUUCAUCCCCAACCGAUCCAAGGAGCGCAGCAUAUGGGAAUGUAUCCACAGCAACUGCCAGCUAACCAGAUGGCUUCCAUGCAUCCUCAACAAAUGUACGGGAACCAAAUGGGAGCAUAUGGCUAUGGAGAGUUGCAGUAUAUAGAUCAGAAAAUGGAUGGGCUAUCCAUCAGAGAUGAUAAUAGCCUGAGAAACUCUUACUACCAGGUUCCCACUUCAUCUUAUGUUCCACCUGGCAAGGCUUCGAAAGCAGAGGAUAAGCUGUUUGGGGACCUUCUUGACAUGGCAAGAAUUAAAUCAAUAAACACCACCCCAAAAGCUUGGUAGCAUGUGAACCUGGAAUUUGUUUUUUUUUUUUUUUCUCCUUUCAGCUUUUCAUUUUACAUAUUUCUUUUGGUAACCAACUUGUUUCCUUUCUCGUUUUCUUUCUUUCUUCUUAAAUAAUAUAAGAUGUUCUUCACCUGCCUCUUAUAUUUUGUUUUGCAUGGUUGGCAAUGGAAUCAUGUACAUUCCCUGUAGAGAAAAUGGAAAGAUCUACUCUUUUUGGGUCAGGAUGACUUUUUGCCUCUCUCCCUCUUUUUAAAGAAAAUUUCUCAGGCUUAUGUAAAAUAAAAAUUUAUUGUGAUAUAAUGUAAAUGUGGAAUUCCUUUCCAACUUUUAAGGCUUUUAGGCAUAAAUUUUCUGUUGGCAUUUUGAACUGCAAGGCUGUUGUAAUAUUGUAUAUGCUGAAAUUUACUCUUGUUGUCAAAGUAGGGUUAGUUUGUCUAUUUUACUAUUGAUUUUUUAAAAAUUUUAAAUGUAUACUUUUGUGGCACAUAAACGUGAUUCUAAACUAAUAAAACGAGUAACGACUAUGGCAGUAUGGCCCAAAAAGAAAAAAAGAAAAAAAAAAGGAAAACUAAUAAAAUGACCAUUGGAAUAAAGUUCAAUACCACGUGCUCAAUCAGAGUUCCAUUACAUCAUUCAAAGUACAACAAAACAAUUACAGAAAUCGUAACUCGACGAGGAACCGGUCGAACCAAUUAUUUGCUUCUUUCACCACUAAUGGAGUCAUUUUAUGCCCUAUAUAAAACCAUCAAAACUGUAGUGGAGCUGAAAACUGAUAACUAUCUUAAAUACUAAAGCAUGCAUUCCAAGAUGGCAAACAUGUAUAUACGCAACCUGCAACCAUCACAGCAAUGUGUCUAUACACACAUGAAAGAUAUAUUUGGCACUGGCGCACUGCCCCAUCUUUAGGUGAUGUCUUAGGUUUCCCAUGCAACAAUGGGAGCUUGAAUACCUUUGCUUUCAAGCCUUAUUGGCAAACAUAAAUAAAGAUAUAGUUUUUGGACAUUUCAGAGUUCUUUAAAAUCAACUCCAUACCUUGAACUUAUCUAAACAAUGGGUCUACCUCGCUUACAGUUCCAUUGAGCAGGCGAUGUAAUCUUGAAGGAUGAGGAGGUCGGUGGAGGGGUGGACCACAAGUUUUGCAGCCUCCACAAGUUUUACAGUUCCAUUCAGCUUCAAACGUUCUGUUCGCUUGCCAUGUUUACGGUAUGUUGGCUCGCACGUGUGGGAUAAUAAAGGCAAAGCAUAAUAUGAUGAAAUUAAGAAAGAAAAGGUAUGGGAGUGAUGGUAAACAGCAUUGACAGUAGAACUGUCCAUGGGCCGGGCCGGGUUCGGGCCGGGCCUACAAAAUUUUCAGCCCAUUUACUAGGCCCGGGCCCGGCCCAAAUAUGGGCCUGAGAUUUUGCCCAGGCCCGGCCCGAAUAAAAAAAUAUGGGGCUUGAGCCCGGCCCGGCCCGUUUUUAAUUAAAAUUAAAAUUAAAAUUAUUUUUUUAAUAAAAUUAAAACUAAUUGUUAUUAAAAUUAAUUGUUAGUAAAAUUAUCAAAUUAUUAAUUGUUAAUUGUAUUAAUUGUUGUAAUAAAAUCUAACAUUUGAUUAGUAAAUUUAUCAAAUUAUUAAUUGUUAAUUGUAUUAAUUGUUGUAAUAAAAUCUAACAUUUGAUUAGUAAAUUUAUCAAAUUAUUAAUUGUAUUAAUUGUUGUAACAAAAUCUAACAUUUGAUUAGUAAAACAAACUUGAUGUUUUAUUAUUAUUAUUUUGUAACACUAGUCAAGGAAAUGAAAGUAAAUAAACUUAAAAUAAAAAACUAUUAUAUUUUAAAAAUAAAAUAUAUAUAUAUAUAUUUAAUAUUUUUCGGGCCAGGCCGGGCCUGGCCCGGGCAAAAAAAUCUUGCCCGAUGCCCGGCAUAUUUUUUAAACGGGCCUAAAAUUUUGCCCAAGCCCAUAUUUCGGGCUUAUAUUUUUACCCAAAUCCUCUCAUAUUUUAGGCGGGCCGUCGGGCCGGGCCAGGCCGCCCGACCCAUGGACAGGUCUAAUUGACAGGUAAGAGGGAAGCAUCCUUUUCUGUCCACCUACUAUUUUUUUUAUAAUAGUAAAAUAGGAAAAGGCCCAAAACUUUUAAUACCCAAAGGAACGCCCAAAACAAAUGUAAUUGUAACAUUGUUUCAGGUAAAGAAGGGGGAAACCAAGAGUUAUUUUGUUUGAUUCGACGAAAGUUGAAAAAAGAAAACAACGAAGCUCCAUUCCUUUUAUCUCCAGAGUUUUUCAUUUCACAUUCAAUGGAAAUCUUAGGAGAAACAUAAUAAACAAAAAAGCAACAGAAAUUGUAGAACCAUGCCUUGGGGUAUCUAAGUUGAUUUUGAACAAGUGGAAGAUCACCGUAAGUUGGUCGAAUGUUUUUGAAGAUGGAUGACGACAGUUCGAAGCAAAUGGUGAUGGUACAGAUCGUGUAGUGCCAUAAUGAAAGAUUUAAGAUAGGAAAAUGGUCACUUUUGAUUACGGGAUCCUGACAAAUGGAGCAGCCCAAGAUUUGUUUUUUUUAUUUUUCCGAUGUAACUUGCUUUUCUUUUCUUUUAAACUUAUCUUAAUUAAAUUGGUAUUUUUUAAUGGAAUCUAGUUAAUUUCUGCAAUUAAUUCUGAUUCUUUUUUCCCGUUAAAUUAUCUGAUGGUGAUGAAUGAACAGCAAAUUUUGGGUUGGAAAUUCAUUGUCUUAAGUCAACUCUGGGUGCCUUUCUGCACCUACUAAUUACUAAAUAAUAAUACAUUUUUAAAAAAUAGAUGACCCCGUUAAAGGUUUCAUUCAUCACAUGAAUCUUUAGCUUAAAAAAGUAUCCAUAUUGAAAAAAAAUAAAAAAAAUCUCGUUUAUUGUUUUGUCUUUGUGUCUGAAUCUGAAUGUUUGUGACAGAGAGCGUGGGACCGUCUUCUCUGAACUGUUUAAAAGUCUCUCUUUUUUCUGCAAGCUUUCAAGCACAGCAAGGCCAUUAUAAAGAUUCCUUGAACAUCUAUAUUUAUUUAUUUUAAGCUCUAUUCUUUUACUCUCCAUUUUGACCUUUACAUAAGGCAAAUGAAGAUCUGAAAAAUGUUGAAGCUUUCCGUUUUCUUCGGUUGAACAAAAAGCUCAAAGCUCAAAUAUGAUGCUGCUUCUCUCUCCUCUGCGACUUUUGGAAAGGAAAAUCAAAUACCCAUUUUCCACCGGAAGGUAAUUCGGCUGCUGAUUUCAUCAAGGUUGGAUUAUUCAAUCAAAUCUGGUGCCCUUUUUCUUGUUUUUGAGAAAUGGGAUUUUUGUAUUCAUCCUGUUUGAUUUGAAAUUACUUUAGUUGCUUAAACAACUUUGGUUUGGAUUUGGUGUAUUUACAGGCAUCAGUAAGGUGAAGGGAAAAUUAUAUUUUGUGAAAGUGGAUUCAUAUAGCUGAAUGUUUCUGGUAGGAUUGAUUUGAUAAUUUAUUGGUUAUUAUGAGCACUAGAUUGUUGCAAAAAGAGAUAUAGAAAUGAAUGUGCAAUGCAGUAAGGAGUACAUAUGCAUGAAUUUGGUUGCUGCCUUGUGGUGGUUCUUUUUAGUAAUUGGUUAAGGAGUAAAUCAGAUUAGUAGUGAUGGCAUCCAUUAGAAGAACACUGUCUCCGGUGCCUCGACAAGGGACUUUAAUUACCGGAGAGGCUGAGCGUUCAGUUCCUUCUCCUUUGUCCAAGUCUUCAUCAUGUAGCCAGAGUUCCCCAGCCACUGGUGGAUUGCUAUCUUCUCUUUUUGGUUUAUCGGACUCUCAAGCUUUAGUUUUCGGAGUUUUCUCACCAAGAUCCUUUAGACCUCUUGACAGGGCUAAACAGAAAGGACAAGUUUGGAGGAGGGUUGUUUUUCAAUUCUUCAUUUGUUUCAUAAUUGGUUUUCUUAUUGGAUUUACACCAUUCAUUUCCAUGGACUUUUCAUAUAUGAAUCCGGUUUCAAAGCAUCAGGCAUUUUCUUUUGAGGUAGUAUCAACUGCUGGGAAUUUUCAAUCACUCAACAAUUCACAAAGGAAUGUAGCAUCAACAAUGAACAACCCUGGGGUUGAAAAUAAUUUCACAUUAGAGGGAUUGGUGCAGAGACAGGAAAUGACAGAAGGGAAUUUAGAUGAUGCCUCGACUAAUCAAUCGGUCCCUCAAGAUAUAGAUCUGGAAUCUCGCAAGCUUUUGAUAAUUGUGACUCCAACAUAUGCUCGAUCGUUUCAGGCCUAUUAUCUAAAUCGUUUGGCGUACACAUUAAAGUUGGUCCAACCUCCACUAUUGUGGAUUGUUGUAGAGAUGACCUUACAAUCUGAUGAAACAGCUGACAUCCUAAGAAGGAGCGGUGUUAUGUAUAGGCAUCUUGUCUGCAAGAAAAAUCUGACUGAUAUAAAAGACAGAAGUGUUCACCAAAGAAAUGUGGCACUAUCUCACAUCGAAACUCAUCAUCUUGAUGGAAUUGUCUACUUUGCCGAUGAACAUAACAUCUACUCAAUUGAUCUCUUUGAGCAAAUGAGGCAUAUUAGGUAUCUCCUUUAUGCUUUUAUAUUCUGUCUGUUUCUUAUUCUCUGAAUGAAGCACCUUGCUUAUCCUUUUAUUUGUUAUAGCCACAAUAUACCUUCUCCCUUUUAUAUGUGCCUAGUGCUGCAGCUUUUUUAUGGCAUUUAUAUUUAUAGGCAAUUUGGGACUUGGCCUGUGGCCAAACAAACAUCGGACAAAAGUAGAGCUGUAUUGGAAGGCCCUGUUUGUAAUGGAACUCAAGUCAUUGGAUGGCACCUAAAUGGAUUAAGUAAGCGAUUCCAAAGAUUCCAUGCUGAAAUGUCAGGGUUUGCCUUCAACAGUACCAUACUAUGGGAUCCAAAGCCAUGGCACCGACCUACUCUUGAACCGAUAAGACAGCUUGACACGGUCGAAGAUGGUUUCCAUGUUAGUAUUUAUUGGCUCUUCUUUGAUUGUCUUUAAGUGUCUUAUUGUUUCACCUUACUACAGUGAUCACAGCUGUUGUUGUUUCUGGAUAAAAGAGAAAUUGUUGGCAAUUCAGAUAAGAUUAUAUAUAUUUAUAUUUGAGCACUGAAAAGAUGGAAACAAAAAGUGGGCAAAAAAUGUGAAUGGAAUUCUCCCAAACCUGGUGUGGAAAAUUUACCCCUUGAGAAAGUAUUUAGCACUUUAACCUAUAUUGAAAUGCUACAUACUGGUGAUGGAUUUCACUUCAAUAUUUUAAGAUUAUUUAUUUGAAUUUGCAGGCAAGCUCAUUUAUUGAACGAGUUGUGCAAGAUGAAAGCCAGAUGGAAGGCUUACCACACGACUGCUCAAGAGUCAUGGUUUGGGAGCUAAAUGUUGAAUCACCUAAUUCUUUCUAUCCCAAAAAAUGGUCAAUGAAGAAUAAUUUGGACAUCAUUGCUCCACUCGCAUGAAACUCAAUAUGUCAAAGGAGUUAAUUUUGAUCAUCAAGGUGAGUGUCAAUUUCCUUUUCAAGUAAUCAAAGUAAAUGCCAAAUUUUUUUUUCUUUUUUGUUUUGCCUAUGACAUGCUAAAAAUCUACAUGGAAAUAAAAGUAAUUUUAUAUUAACUUGAAUUCCAGUAUAUUCAUCAUUGAAGUGAGAAGAAAGAAUAUACAGGAAAACAAACAACAUAAUGAAAAACCAAGCUCUUUUAGCUGUAUUACCUCUUUCAUAUUUUCUUUUUCCAUGUUUUGGCCUCCGGGGCUGAUUCAUCUAACAAGACAUUGCACAAGUGCAUUGAGAUUUUUCAUGUUCAUUAUUGUAGGAAAGAUGGCCAAGAAUUGUAUUUAACUGCCAUCGAAGGAGACUCGAAACUCAACUGAUACCUAAAUCAAGUGGAAGAGCAUUACCAAUACCUUGUUGCAGUAAAACAGAGUAAUCUGCAGACAAGUGUAAACAAAACCUUCGUACGGUAUCUCGUUUUCCCGUUUCUGCAUUGCCCGUUGAGAGCAUUUCGUGAGACUAGUUGGGAAGGAUGGUCAAAUGGAAAGCAUCCUUGUGUAAUGCUGACUGUAAUGUUAUUACUUUGACUCUCAUUCUCGUUUUAGCUAAUAGCUAUUCUUUUGGGGGAGUAAAAUUGAAAGCAAAUUUUGGUCAAUCACAUUUUGUUACCUCCAUAUCUGUCUUUUUAGUACAAUGUUUCUUGCAUGUAUUUUAUAAUUAAUUUGUAAUGCAGCUUUGAAUUCAGCUGUAAAUGCGAUGUGAAAGUGGAUUGCGUGACUAAAUUGCACUUUUAACUGCAGAGUACUGGUUUAGAACAGAAUUGCAGAUUCACUACAUUAAACUACAGUGGCUACCCUAUGAGAAGUUGCGUGUAAAUCUUCGUUAGUUUAGCUACUAUGAUUGGUUUGUUCAAUUAUUGGUUAUUGUUACAAGAUAAAAUGACAUCUUCAAAUCUAUUUGGAUAGAAUAUGUUUUUUCUAUAAUUACAGUAUUGGUUAGCCCUCCACUAAAAGACAUUUAGGAAUCCUGACAGUAAAUUUUCUUUUAACGGCCCUUUUGGUAUGCUUGAUGUAGAAAGAGGAGUAUUAUGUUCAAUACCACUCAAGAUAAAAGAUAUAUCAAGGUGUUUGGUCGAUGAGAAUCGUAAUGUUUAUUAUUAUUGUUAUCUUGUGUUUUCCAUCAAAUAAAACAUUAACUGUCAAUACAAGUGAUAUUUAAAUACCAGAUUUAAGUCUGUUUUAUUUAUCCUUCAUCUUAAAACAAAAAGUCACGUAAAUGGCUCGUAAAUGUGAUGGGAUGUUUUUUAACUUUUCAAGGCCAAAGAAUGACAUUCUAUAAAUAUUUUGGAAUUAACUCGCUAUCAGGCGACCGUCGAUAUGUCCGAGUGGUUAAGGAGACAGACUCGAAAUCUGUUGGGCUAUGCCUGCGCAGGUUCGAAUCCUGCUGUCGACGAUCCUUUUUAUUAUCAACUCUUCUUUUUUGAUAAUUUUCUGAACUCAUGUUUAAGGUUAUGCUAAUGAGACUGUAAUAACUAAGAAUCCUGAACAAUGAGUAAUCAUGGGCGUUUCUCUCUUUUUAAUUAUCAUAAAACUUAAUUAGCUAAGCAAGAUUGCAUUGCAUGAAUGAACUUAGCAUAUACUAUAAAUAUAGAAAGAAAUUUUGCUGAAAUUCUACUGAUAUACAUAUAUAUAUGUUCAGUAAAACUCCUGUUGGUUUGAUUCUUUCCUUCCUUAUGUUGCUGGUACGUAUAUAUAUAUAUGCCUAAAAGAUUUAUACAACAAGAGGGUACCAAGAUAAAUUAUAAUAUUUGAUCUGGAGAAUGAGUGCAACUCACUUCAUUCUCUUCUUCAAAUUGAGUUUUUUUUCUUCUUCACUCAUCGAUCAAUCAUUUUUUUUAUCAUACCAAUCACCAUUGCUUUGCUUAAUUAAUUUCUCCCAAAGUUAGAUGUUUCCUAACCUAGAGUUGAUCUUUCUGGCAUCUCUCUAUGGCUCCUACAUUGCUUGCGUGCUUCUCCUGGCUUCCUGCCUCAUCUUAAUCACCCUCUUGCUCACUUUUUCUCUCUCAACUUUCUCCGUUGUUUUCAUCGAUAUAUUUACUAUCUUUUCCUUAUUUUCUCAGUUGAUUGGAUCAAUAAAGGCUGAUGUUGAUCUGGGUUUUGUUCUGCUUCUCUGCAUGUUCUUGCAAUAUGGGAUUGCUGGUGUUUCGGCUUUAAAGCCCUCAUUCCAUCGCCUGGUUUUUCUACUCAGAUUAAAGCUCCAAGAUACCAUGAAUCGCAUCCAUGCUUGGCUGGCUGUUGCUCCUCCACACCAGAAAAUUUCAGCCGUAAUUUCAUCCCAAUUAUUCACCAAAAACUAAUCAAUAUAAUAUAAAAGAAGAAUUGAUUUAUAAUUUAUAAUCAUCUAAUGUUUGGGUGCGAUUCAUUGUUAUUCAUCCAAGAUAACCAUUACUGUCUAGUUUUGUAGUAUACGGUUAUUGGCUCAAAUGUUCAUUUUAUAAUUUUAAUGAUUUAAGAUUGAUUAUUGUGACUAUUAAAUAAUAAUAAUAUAAAAGUUGGUUUAUUGUAACAAUCACAUUUAACAUUACUUCUUUUAAAUUAUUAAUUUAAAAAUAUUUUAUAAAAAAAAUUAUUUAUAAUUAUUUCCCAACCUAUAAACAAGAGUAUAAUACGCUUUAACAACUCGAACUCACAACAAUACUUAUAUGAAUCAAGCUAAGACUCAAUUGACAACUUAGAUGAUAAUAUUAAUGUUACAACAAUUUGCGCAUACUAUCUUUCACUUAAGAAAGUGAGUUAUAUCUGAUUUACUCUUGUAUAAAAAAAAAUUUGUCACGCAAAAUAACUUUCAAAUCAACUAAUUGAAUGGUACAUUAGUGAAAUAAAAUAAUAUAAAAUAUUUAAGUAAAAAAUUUUAAAUAAUAAUUAUUAAUAAAAUAAUAAAAAUGCAAAUAAUAUUGAUCGUUCAAUAUAAACUCAACUUUUCAGUAAAUCAAAAUCUUUUUGUUUUGACAUUAAAAUUGAUUAUUGAUGAAAAUUAAUUUAUCAUUAAUAAAUUAAAUUAGUUACGAAAUUAAUAUAUAUGUGUGAGACAAGUAGAGAAAAUGUUAGGGGAGGGGUAUGGUAUUGUAACACCCCGACCCGCGUCCGUCGCCCGGAUUAGAGUUACGAGGCAUUACUAAACAAAGCACACAUUCGAAAACACAUAAAACCCAAUUUAAACAAAAUGAUCAUGAACAAAACAUUUUUUUUUUAAACCAAACUGAUCACAAACAUGGAAAUUAAACCAUUUUCGCAUGGCUAUUUAUAUUUUAUGAUCCAAAACUAACCAAAAACAAACUCAAGUCUAUACAUGCCAUAAAAUCGAGAUCAACUUAACAAAAUACCAAAAGAAGUCGAUAGUGUGAUAGACUAUGCUGAUGAUCCCCGAGCUCGUAACGCGACUCCAAAAUCUAUAAAACAAAUGGACAAAAACAAUCAAAGUAAGCUUUUAUAGCUUAGUAAGUUUAUAGCAAAUUAAAAAUACAUAUAAACGAACAUAUGUAUAAACAUUAUAUGCUUAUAAUCAAGUUACAGACAUAAUCAUUAAUUGCAUAUACUAAUUUCUAAUAUACUUAUCAUUUGGAUUUCAUCGAAUGCAUUUCUAUGAUCUUUUCAAUACAUAUGUCAAAAGCUUAUAUUUUUACUUAUCAACUUCAUGAAUCAAAUGCACAGUUAUACUUCUAAUCCACAUGUGCCGAAUGCCUACAUGUAUAUUCAACAAUCUUCAUAACAACCAAUAUAAUAUAUGUGCCUAUUCACUAAACACAUAGAUUCAAACAUUUAUAUGCUCAUCAAAUACAUAUAAAUAAAUGUUCAUAUACUUAUCCAUUAUAUAACCCAAAAUAAUUUACAUAUUUAUAUAUAUCAAAUGCAUAUAAUCACUUAAUUUAACAUAUUCACCGGCACUUAACCUGCUAAGCUUAUAGCCUGAUUCAGAUCACCGGCACUUAGCCUGCUAGACUUAUAGCCUGUUUUAGAUCACCGGCACUUAGCUUGCUAGACUUAUAGCCUGUUUCAGAUCACCGGCACUUAGCCUGCUAGACGUAAAGUCCGAAAAAUUCACCGGCAUUAAGCCUGCUAGGCGCUUAGCCUGAAAAUUUCAAUUUCACAGAUACAAAGAUGAUUCCUCGUACAUUUCUUAAUAGCAACACAUGUUCAUAACAUUUAUGUAUAAUUCACAACCUCAACUUUAUCCCCAGAAAAUUUGUAAUCCAUGUUCGAAGCAUACAAGCAUUUACAAAUUAUACUUUUAAUCCAACUCAAGUAUUUGUAUAUGUAUUUAUAUCUAUUCGAACCACACACAUGCAUAUGUAAAGUUCAUACUUUACAUUCAUUUCAAAAACUUAUAUAUAUACACAUAACUAUAUAUUCGAACCUCACACAUAUGCAUGAAAAUAUAGAAUUCAUACUUUUAAUUCCAUUCAAAAACUUAUACAUGUAUAUACAUAUAUAUUCAAACCUUAUAUAUAUAAAUAUAUCAUCCAUACCUUUAAUUAAACUCAAGAUCUUAUACAUAUUCAUAUAUACAUAUUCGAACUUCAUUUAUGCAUAUAUAUAACAUUCAUACUUAACUAAUUUCAAUUCAUAUAUUUUUAAUUAUAGCUCAUCAAAUAUACAAUAGAUAUACAUAUACAUAUAUAUAUAUGCUGAUUUCAUAACAUUAAAUUGCUAAUAGACUUACCUCGGACGAUGGAAAAUCGAAGUCGGAUGAUUAUUCGACUAAUUUGGUUUUUUCCCGAUCUAACUCCGAUUUCUUUGGUUCUCGAUCUAAAUAUAUUCAAAAUGAGAUAAUUUAUUUAUUAACACAUUCAAUUUAGUCCAAAAACACAUAAUUUGGAAAAUUACUAUUUUGCCCCUAAUAUUUACACUUUUUGCAAUUUACUCCCUAUUGCAUAAAACACAAUUUACACAAAAUUUGCCCAUACCACACAAGGGCCGAAUAUUCAUGGUUCUCAUACAAGUCCACACAUUUCAUUUAUUUCACAUUUUAGUCCCGCAAAAAUUUAAAUUUCACAAUUUAGCCCUAUUUACUCAAUUUCACUAAAAAUUCAAAGACAAAACAUUUUAAUCUUUCACCCAUCUUUCAUAUUUCAUCAUCAACUAUCGAAAAGCUCAAACAUUCAUCAAUGGCAUAUCUCAAAAUCACCAUCAAAUUCUAAAAUUAAAGCAUGGGUCUUGUAGUACACAAAGCAACGAUCUCAAAAACGUAAAAAUUAUAAAUAAAAAAACGAAACAAAACUAACCUCAAUCAAGCUAUGAAAGUGCCGAAUUUUAGAAAGUCAUUGUUGGGUUCUUCAUGCUUAACAUUCGGCUAAGAAAAGAUGAAAACAUUCAUCUUUUCAUCAUUUAUUUUUAAUUAUAAUGUUUAAUUUAACAAUUGACUAAAUUAACCUUAUUAUAAUAAAUAUAUAUAACAUAUAUAUUAAGGUCAAUUAUGUCAUAUGCCACCCACUAUCUACUUUAUGGUCUUAUUGCAUCAUAAAUCCUCCCAUUUUAAAAGACAUCAACAAUUAGGUGCUUUUAUAAUUAACCCCUAAAUUUUCAUUUUACGCGAUUAAGCCCUUUUAUUAAAUCGGACGCUUAAACGACGAAAUUAAAACAAGAAAAUUUCACACAAUCAAAUGCACACAAAAUAAACACACAAAAUAAUAUUAAAAUAUUUUUUUGACUCGGACUUGUGGUCCCGAAACCACUAUGUCCGAUCAAAGUCGAAAUCGGGCUGUUACAGGUAUGGUUGUUCAUAAAAUAUACUGUCGCUAAAAAAAAAGCAUCACACCAAUGAGAGGACGUCACGUAUGUGGCUUUUAUAUUUAACCAUUUAAAAUUUUCAAAAAUUAAUAUUAAAAUUAAAUAUUCAUUUAUAUUGAUUUAAAUGAACUUAAUAAUGUGGUUAAAAAAUAUUUUCUCUUUUAAGUUGCAAAGGAAACUAAAAACAAAAAAUUAGGGUUUAAAGCAUAGAGAUUUUCUUUUGAUUCAAAUAUUCUAUUUAAUUUUGAGCAACAAAAUGUUUACCGAUUCAAAUGAAAUACAUUGAUACUGUGAUGCUUAAGUUAACUCUAAUCUAAAAGUCUCUCUCAUAAACCCAAUCAAUCCAAAUUUUGGAUUCUCUAUUUAACCAAAUUAAAAAUGCGAUUUUAGGUUUAUCGAGUUGUUUUUUAAAAUUUCAAGAGAUAAUGAUUGCCUUCUAUUAGAAAGAAGAUUAAAUGAUUGAAAUCGGAAGAAUUACAUUUCUGGAAAAUAUUUUCCGGUAAAAUGAUUUUUGGAAAAUGAUUUACAUUUCUGGAAAAUGAUUUACUGAAAAUAUUUUCUGGUGUUUGGAUGAAUCUGUGUAAAAUAUUUUCUGUUGUUUGGUAGUUCCUGAAAAUAUUUUUCGGAAAAGUUGUUUUUACAUAUAUUAAUAAAAUUAUAUACAUAUUAAUAAUUUUUUAUAUUUUAAAUUGUUUUUUCAUAUAUUGCAAUAAUUUAUUUAUAAAUAAAUAAAUCAAAUUAAAUAUAUCAAUCAAAUGGUUUAAUUGUUCAAGAUUGACAAUAAUCCUAUAAGAUUCAUUCACAUCACAUGUAAAUGGUAAAAACUAAUCAACAUAUUUGUAGUUUAAUAACUAAGUAGCAGCAGCUCGUCUAGUAAUGUAUUGAAGCCGAACAAUAUAUAGAACAUAUAGAAAAAUAUCUAAUCUGAAAUGAAAAUGCACUUUCAUCCACAAAAGUGGAUCAUAUCUGAUUGUAUCUAAUGAAAAAUCCCAAUACAAAAUGAAAGAUAAGGUUGGUGUUUGCAGUGUUAACCAUAUCCUUAGGCAUUCCAGUGCCAUUGUAGAUCCAACAAAUGCCAAAAAGUUAAAAGUUUAGUACAUGAGCCGCUCCUUUCAGAACAAAGAUUUAAGGAUCAAACAAUACCUACUAAAGGAAUCAUACAAAGAUAGCUCUACCCGCAAAUGACAAAUGCUUAUCUCUAUCCUCAUUGCUCAUCAUUUCACUUUCCUUUUUUCUUGCCCUUUUCAAAUAAUAAAAUUGUUACAAUGGCAGAAAGGAACUGGAGAAAAAAAUUCAUGAUGUAACGAGAUCAGGUGUUUCAGCCUCAAUUGAUAACCAAGCAUAUUGUGUACUUUUCCCGUCCAAUUAUCCAACCAGUCACGCAAUCUAUUGAUCUGUGGAAUUCCCAAAACUCGUGGCUGCACCCAAGAGACAUGAAUUGUUCCCUCAACUUGAUCAAUUAUUCCCUCAAUCAGACGAACCUGCAGUCAUUAUUUUCAAAAAGGUUAUACAAGUUAUCUUUAGAAUUUUGAACCCGCUGAAGUAUAGCUAGUUGCUACAUGCAGGCCAUGGAUCAAAUGUAUACAAUGGUGCAUCAUCCAUAUGAAAAAUUGAGACUUGGACUUCUACAAAUGUUCACUAUUCAUAAUAAUUUGGAUCUAUAGGAACAACACUCAACUUUACAACCUCAUAAAGCAACUUACGGGCGACAGUUUUUACAGACUUUUUUUUCAGAACAGAUUCAUUUACCAUUGAACCAUUCACGUAAUCAAAACCAUAGGCCACUAGGACAUGCAUAACAUCAAUAGUUCGCGCCUCAUCCUCUUUGUUCGUCAGAAGGUAUCCUCUCUCGCAAGAAUUCCUCAAACUGCAGGAACUACAAACUUGAUUCACAAAACAAUUUAUCACUAUCGAAAACAGAAAGAAAGAAUGGCAAUCUUCUGCAUAAAAAAACCGCAAAAUUGAAAUAUGAAGAACACCAAAAAGAAAGCAACAUUAUAUAUUAGUAAACAAAAAAGGAGUAAAAGAAUCAAUACUUACAUCUCCUUCAUCAAGGUGGACACAUUUCCUCAAGAGUUUUACAGAGAAAACCACCUUCUUGUCAGCAUUCGGGCAACCAAAACCAACCAAAAUUUGAAUAUCCUGUCUCGACAAUGACCUGAAAUCAACUUUCUAUUUCAGAGCCAGGCAAACUAACACUAAUCAAAACAAGUGGUUCAAAAUAAGUCCUUCCAUAAACAAUUUUUUCAUAAAUUGAACAUAUUAAUUCAGCCAAAGAAGCAGAAGACUGCUAAAGAGGGACCAACAUUGAUACAAGCAGUUUGCACAGUCUUGUAGUCCUUAAAAUCAAUUCCAGCAUCAUCCUUGACUUCCUCAACAACAUUAGUCAUAUCAAAUCCCAAGUAUUCCACCAUCUUCUCAUCAUCUCUUCUUUUAUGAUCAAAAUAAUUUUGCUGCACUAAUCUCUCCAUCAAUUCUAUCCAUUCAGGCCAUGGGUGCACCAUCUCCACCUCCACCUUCUGUCCCUUAUUCUGCAUUUCUGACUCGCCCAUGUAACACCCCUUACCCGUAUUCCUGAUCGGAACAGAGUAUGAGGUAAUACUAAAUUUUUUUUUAAAAAAAUUUCGACAGCAUUUCUGCUUAUUUUUGCUUAAACCUCCUGCAAGUUUUCAAACACAAUUCAAUAUUCCAACCAAGUUCAGUUGUAUAAACAUACACAGUUUAACCAUUAAUAAACACUACAUUUUAAAUCGAACCAUAACAUAUAUUUACAUGGUGACUCCACAUUACAUUAGUCGUCUAUACAUGCCAUAAUUUCCGGAAUACUAGUAGCAAAAUACCCAAACGUGGAUGAUAGUGUAGAUGAUUGUCUGACUCCGUUCCAAUUCCGAGUUGAUGGAAAUCACUAUAAUCAAGGGAAAAAUAAAAACGAGUAAGCAUAUAGCUUAGUAAGUAAACAUAUGACAAAUAAGUAAAAUAUAAAUUUAUUCACAAAUAAAUUUCAUUGUUUGUGUAAUUUCCAGCAAGCUGGUUUUCUGCGUCAUGACCACUAAUUUAUUUUUAUCCAGAGCUACAGGGCUCCAAAUUGAAUUCUGUAAAUUUUCCCUGAAACUAGACCCAUAUAUAUUUCUAUCAUAAAAUUUUCAGAAUUUUUUAUCAAGCCAAUUAGUACAGUUUAUUCUUUAAAUCUUCCCCUGUUUCCCUGCCCGACAGUCCUGACCUCCCCUUACAAAAAUUUACAUAAAUCUCUGUACAAGUUUCAAAAAAUGUUCACGUUUGUUUCUAUUAAAAAUAGACUCAAAAAGGAAUCCAGGCAUAUAGAUUUCAAGCCAUAAUUAUUUUUUUUAUAAUUUUUGGUGAUUUUCCAAAGUUGGAACAGGGGAUUCCGAAAUCAAUCCAGCCCUGUCUCAAAUAAAUCCAAAUAUCCCUAAAUAUACAACUCUUUUGCUUCCUCUGUUUCUUUCAUAUGAAAAUAGACUCACUCAGCUUUAAUUUCAUAUAUUAUUAAACCUCCAAUUCAUUUUCCACCAUUUAUGGUGAUUUUUCAAAGUUGCCCAACUGCUGUUGUUCUAAACAUGUUUGUAUUUAAAUUGUUUCUUUUGUACUUUUGAUAUUUCCUCCCAUCUUAUACAUGAGUUGAUUAAGUAUCAAACCCAAUAUUCCUCCCAUAACCUUGUCCACCAUAUGCAUAAAUAUUCACCUUCCCAAUUUACUCGUUGAACACUCGGAAUGUUAACCGUUAUCGGUGGAUUCAGCACUUAGCAACCACCAAUGAGUCGGGGAAUCAGCACUUAGCAACCCUUUUCACAUUUAAGAUACGGUGGGUUCAGCACUUAGCAACCACCAAUGAUUCGGGGAAUCAGCACUUAGCAACCCCUCGGGAGAAUCAGCACUUAGCAACUCCCUUUACAUUUAAGAUACGGUGGAAUCAGCACUUAGCAACCACCAAUGAGUCGGGGAAUCAGCACUUAGCAACCCCUUGGGGGAAUCAGCACUUAGCAACCCCCUUCAUAUUUAAAAUACGGUGGAAUCAGCACUUAGCAACCACCAAUGAUUCGGGGAAUCAGCACUUAGCAACCCCUCGGGGGAAUCAGCACUUAGCAACCCCCUUUUUAUUCAAUGUAAUCCGGCCUAUUCCGAGUGUUCAACCGGAAACCGUGUUUUUCAACACUUUACCACCUUUCCCCACUUAGCCACAUUUUUUUUGAAUCUUUGCCAAAUAUUUAUUCUAUGUUCAAAUAAAUCUCAACACAUAUCAAAUAAUAUCAAAAAAAUGCAUUAUUUCACAUGUUUACUUACCUCGGUGUAAAAUAUCGCAAUUUUGUAAUUUACUCCACUAUCUUCUCUUUUCCCCGUUUGAGGUAGUCUUCUCGUCUAUCUUGAUCUAUAAUGGCAAAUUUAACUCAUUUAAUGUUCACAUUUAUUAAAAUAAUCCACCACCCAACUUUUUGAAAAUUACAAUUUUGCCCCCAAACUUUUGCAUAAUUACACUUUUGUCCCCAAGCUCGGAAAUUAAACUUCAUCUCUUAUUCUUAUGUUUUAUGACAUGCUGAACAUUUUUCCCUUCUAUGGAAACAUUAAAUUCCCACUCUAACACAUACUUUUGAACAUUAAUUAUUUUUACCGAUUAUGUCUAUUUACCCGUUUUCGCUUAAAAUCGCUUAGCAAAAGUUGUUUAACAUAAUUUAUAGCUUCAUAUUCUACCAUAAAACAGCAAAAUAAACACAUUUCACCUAUGGGUAUUUUUCCAAAUAUGAACCCUAACAUGAAUUAUUGCUAGAAUAAGCUAAAUUAAGCUACCGAGACUCCAAAAACGUAAAGAACAUUAAAAACGGGGCUUGGGAUCACUUACUAUGGAGCUUGGAAGCUUGAAAACCCUAACUAUGGCUUCCCCCUUGCUGAUUUCGUUCACCAUGAAGAAGAUGAGCAUAUUUUGCCAUCUUUUUCCCAUUUAAUUCUAUUUAAUUACCAAGUGACUAAAAUGCCCUUACUUAAAAAAAUCUAUUUCACUAAUUCGAUGCCCAUUUUUGUCCAUCAACUAACUACUGGUCUAAUUACCACAUAAAGACCUCCAAUUUAAAAUUUCAUAACAAUUAGAUACCUCUAAGAUGUAGAACUCAACUUUUGCACUUUUUACAAUUUAGUCCUUUUGACUAAAUUGAGUGCCCAAACGUCAAAAUUUUCGGACGAAAUUUUUACGAAAUUUUUCCGUAAAAUUUUAGACCAUAAAAAUAUAAUAAUAACCAUAUUUUCCCUCAUCGGAUUUGUGGUCCCGAAACCACUAUUCCGACUAAGCCUAGAAUCGGGCUGUUACAGCUCAACUUAGUCACUGAAUCAGUACUCAAAACACCAACUUCAGCCUCACUUUUAGCAUCCUCAGCACUUUCCUUAUUCUCCCCAUACUUGAAUUCCCUCCAAGCAUGAAUCCUCUAGAAAGCACCUCCGUUGGGUAAGUCAGUUAACUCAGGUGAAUCAGACAAAGCGACAUCGUUUUUGGCACUACCAGAAUCAGAAUUUGUCGCCUGUAAGACUCUUUAUCUGUAAAUGAUUCCAACAGUCAUCAUCUCAAACAUAACAAAAUAAAAAACAUCAAAGCAAAGAAAUUCAGAAGGGAAAAAAGAAAAAGAAAAAGAAAAAAAACUACAACAAUGGAAGUUUCAACAAACAAUUUGGAUUUUCUGGAAUCAAAUCAGUGAAAAUUAAACAGAAAAAAUGUUUUCUGGAAUAUUCAACAAUGGAAGUUUCAACAAACAAUUUGGAUUUUUAAAAGAAUUAAACAGAAAAAAUACUUGUUGAUGACAGAGAGAGAACCAUUGCUUCUGGGUCUUCUUUUCUUGACUGUGGCUGCUAAUUUUUUAAGGUUUCUUUAAAAUACAAGUAAGGCCGACGGUUGACGGAGAUGGUGAGGUGAGGUGACAAACGGAGAUGAGGAGGCAGAUGAUGUGGAAGAAAAUUUGCUUAGAAGAGAAAGAAGAUUGCUUAGAAAAGAAAGGAGAAAGGGAAAAUGUCUUACGGAUUAGAAAUCGGUAAGACAAUUUCCAAAAUUUUACUUCGGAUUUUACCCGUGUUUCCUAUGGAAAUCAUUUUACACAAAACAAACACCGGAAAUGAAUGAAAAUGUUUUCUGGAAAACAUUUUCCACCAAACAAACACUCCCUAAAUUACUCUCAAAUUCAAUUACUAUACAAAACUUGAUUUAGUAAAAAAUUCAACUAAGUCAAUGAUUACUUUAUCCAAAUUCCAAUCUAUUUUUUUUCAUUUUCUUUGUUAUUUUUCCAUUUCCCCAAUAUAUUUUAUAAUUGAAUGGUUAAAUAUAAAAACCACAUAUGUGGCAUCCUCUCAUUCGCACUUCAUGGGAGUUUUUUUUUUUUAGUAAAAACCAUAACGAUUUAUAUUUUUAGGUAUUUAAUUGGGCUAAAAAAAGUUUAAGUGUUAAUGUGAGAAAAGAAUAUUAUGAAUUAAACCUGUAUAAAAUAUUAUGCUCAAAAUAUAAUAGAGUAAAAUGUAAAGUAUUAUUACUUUUAGUUGUUGUUAUUACCAUGAUGUUUUAUUAUUUUGGUAUUAAUAAAUAGGGUAAACGAUUCUAAUAGUUAUUUAAUUAUCAAAAUUUUUAUUUUAGGUAUCUAAAAAAAAUUGUAAUUUAAGCACCUAUGUUACAUAAUUUGGCUAUUUUAAUCACUCGUUAAAAUCACAAAGUGCAAGCUGAUGUUGCAAUUAAAAAAUCGACAUAAUAACAAACUUAGUCCUUAACUUUUUCAUAUUAUAUAGAGAUGAGGUGGGGAGGUGAGACACGAGAGGAGGAAAGGGAGAGGGAUGGGGUGGGGUGGAAAGGAUUUUUAUUUUAUUUUAUAUUAAUAUAAUUUUUAUUUAAUAUUUAUAUUAUAUAAUUUUAAAUUUAUUAUUGUAAUUUAAAGAAAAAUAUAUUUUAUGUAUUUUUAUAUUUUUUUAGAUUUAGGAUUAGGGUAGUUUACCUUAUUAAAUAUUUAGCUUAAAUUUUAAUAUAAAUAUAAAAAAAUAAUUUAUGAUAAUCCAUAAUUAAUAUUAUAACAUAUGAAAUAUAAAAUUUAAAUAUGAAAUCACAUUUAUUCUUUUAUGGUUAAAAUAAAUUAGCUAUUUGUUUAAAACUACGUUUAGUUUGGUUUCACUUGGAAAUCACUUUUGAAUCUCACCAGAAACAAAGGCUUAGGCUUAGGGUGGGUUUUUGGUUUCACUUGGAAAUCACUUUUGAAUCUCACCAGAAACAAAGGCUUAGGCUUAGGGUAGGUUUAGAUUGGCGAUUGGGUGUGGUGCGGUGCGUUUACUUUACUUUUUGUCUCACGCUACAGUAUCGCUAUAGUAUCUAAUCUCACCGCCACCGAUGUUUUUACACUAACUGCAUGUAAAUGCACCGCCCAUCCAAACUCACCCUUAGUUUGGAUGAGCGGUGUGUUUACCUCCGAUGAGGUUAAAAAUAGUGGUGGCGGUGAGAUUAAUUACUAUAGCGGUAAGAUUGGAUACUGUAGCAGUGACAUUAGAAACAUCGGUGUAAUGUGUGUUUGGAUUUAAAUGCAGUUGUAAUGGUGAGGUGAAAAUAGAAAAUAAUUUUUAAGGACAUUAUAUUAAAAAUGAUAUAUAAUAGAAGUUUUUAAAAUUAUUUAACAAUUACAAAAUUAAUAAAUGAUUAAAAAUUAUUACAAUUAUAUUUAUUUUUAAUAAUAAAUAAUUAAAAAUGAAUUAAAACUCGAGAAAAAUUCAAAAAUUUAUUUUAUUUAAUAUUUCAAAAUUAAUCAUAUAUUUAAUUAUAGGGGCUUAAUUCAUUAUUGAAAUUAUUGAGCCUUUAGAAAAAUAAAAUAUUAUUGGAAGAUAAAAUAAUAAAGCAACUCUAGAAUAAGAAAUAAAAGAAAUAAUAUAUGGGUAAAAGAAGAAAAGAAAAAGCAACUGAAGUUGCUAAAUUUUUACUGGACCAAAAGGCUUCAGUCUGGAAUUAAGCCUCCAGUGAGGUGAAAUGCAUUUUCAACGUAUUGAAGAAUGCUUUCCAAACAGCCUUACGUUUACUAACAUUUCAGUUGCAAUGUUUUUUAGCCUAAAAAAGCAAACACACUGAGACCCGAUUGCAUCUAAAGGAAGCCCUAGACAAAAACAGAGGGAGUAGAGUACAUUUCCCUCCCCCUCCUGACCGGCGAAGAAUCCAUCAGCGGCGGAGGAGAGAAGACCCAGCUGCCCUAACAGUUUUGACAAGAAAAGAGAAAGCAAAACACGAAAACAACUGAGAAAAGAAAAAGAGAAUAGCAACCGGAGUAGAGGAAGGGUGAGCGGUGCUGGCCAAAUAGCCGGACACGUGACAAAAAUCUGUUUCUGUCUCUGGUGGCAAAGGAGAAGGAAAAUAAAUCUGAGUAUUAGGUUGAUUAUCGUCCGGAAUUAAUGAGAUGAAUUUUCUGUAAAAAUGGUGGUGGGUUGAAUCAACUAUUCUUUGUCCAGUUUUGCCGAUUGUAAUUAGUUACUGUUAGGAUGAUUUUAUAGCGUUACUUUUUAAGCUUUCAAUAAUAAUAAUGUGUGACUUCAUAUUUUUUAAAAGAUUUUUUAAUUAAUAUCAUACGUAUACGGUUUCUAAUAUUAGAUUGUUUCGUUUUAAUAAUAUUAAAUCUUAAUUAGUGUUUAUUAUUUAGCUAAAAUUUAUGUAAAAAAACUUAAUAAAAUAUAUAAAUAUAAGGUUUAAGAGUUUUUUAAAACUAGAAUUUUAAGAUUUAUAAUUUAGGGAAAGGGUUAGACUAGAAUUUAGGAUCUAAUGGUAUUAGACUUUUAUAUGAAAAAUAAAUUAAUAGUAAUAAAAGAUAAUUUGAUAAUUUUUGAUGUAUUAUAUUAUUUGUGCACUCUAAAAAAAUAUAAUGUGGCACGUUAUUAUUGAAUGUCUAAAAAGUGAAUUUUUAGGAUAAUCCUAAUCUAAGUUAAACUCUUAAAAUUUUACUUUAAAUUCAAAUUUUAUUAAAUAAAAUAUUUUACCUUGAGAAUUAAUUUGUAAGAUUUCAAGCAUUCAAUCGUCGGUUUUUCUUUCUUUUAUCUUUGAUAAUAUAUGAUCCAUUUAUCAAUUUUAUUAUUUUUUUCUCCUAUUAUCCAAUCUCUUCAAAUAUAACACGAAAAAUCCAAGAGAUCAAAUUAGAGAUCCACCUUGCACAGAUUUUUUAUAUUAAAUUAAAUCAUUAUUAAUCACUUUAGAAAUGACUCUCAGUUCUCAGUUGACUAUGUUUUAGUAUAUAAAUUUUUUUUUUGAAAAGAUAUUUUUUUUCAAAUUUUUUUACUUAUUUUUCUAAUUUCAAACAACUACUUGUUUAAGAACCAAAGCAGGCAUAAAUGCUGGAGUGCGAAGUUUGAAUCAUAGUUAUUGAUAUCGCAUUGAUACUGCUGGUGCCGCAUGGUAGGAUUUAAACUUUCGAUAUGUUUGGGCUGUUUUUGAUCCAUUAGCAUUUCCAUGUCAUGCUCAUAUUGUAUUCAAAAUAGUCAAAUCAGCAGGGAGGAUGAUGAACCAGAAAUAAACAACCAAAUAACAGGAAGCUAUAAUUCCAUUCAUCUAGACAAUUUCUGAAUAUUGUCAAUAAAUGUAUCUCAUAAAUAUAAAACGGAACGGAAAGUGAAAAAUGGGGAUUGUGUAAAGAAUGGAAAAUUAUUGACCAUCUUCUUUCUUCCCCAAAACGCAAUCUAGCCUAACUUACAGGAGACUUAAGGAGGUGGAUCAAUUGAGAGAUAAAAUAACCUGAGAUAUCAGCUUUCGUACUUGCACAGGUUCUCGAAUCCCAUGUACUCGUGCCGCUCGAUUUUCCCGAUCAUGUUUGAUAUGCCAACACCACCUACCAAAAGUAAGCCAAGAAUUGUUUUUUGACAAGUUUGAAGCCAAAAAAAACAAAAGUCUGUCAAAACAAUUGGAGGAAUAUCUAAGCUCACCUAGUGAUAUUGCACUGACAAAUAUUGUGGAGGCUAGAAUGAAGAUGAUCAAAGAUGCCCUUCCAAAUAAAAUUAUCAGCUUUCGGACAACAUGCUGUCCGAUAAAGGCAGCAACUGUAGCUACCCCAGUGAAGUAGAGAGCUGCAAAAUAAAGUACGGAAUUCGUAAUGUAACUCCAGGGAAAAUGUGGAACAACGAUAUGUUCAUGUAGACGCAACAUCCCUUGCAGGUUUCAAUGUUCCCUUUUAUUUCAAUAAUAAAAUUAUCGCACUGUUGAGAUACCAACUUACCGUAAGGUACUGGAAAACGCUUCAGAAGGUAAUAUUCUACAACAGACAUGGACGAGGAAAAUGUCAUGGCAAAGGUAGCUGUAGCACUUGAUACCUGCAUGGAAGUUGGUAGGAAGCCAAAAGAACAAAAAUAACAAACAUUGGAUCAUCUUCAAGGUCAUAAUGAGACAAGAACUGAUUUUCCCUCCAAUGUGAUCAUCAUUCCAAUUAACAUAUGAAGGAUAAACUUCAAGGCUAUGACUACACAUUCAAAGGGCACAAAGAAACUCACUUGAGGAGGGACACCCAACUCCAAGAAUAGUGGACCCAUGAUAAAUCCUCCUCCUAGGCCAAGUAGACCGCCGACAACUCCAGCUAGUACUCCAAAAGCACAGUAGGUAACAAGCUGGGCUACUCGAAAACUUGUGCCAUCUUCUCCCUUGGAUGCAAUUACUCUAUACCCUUUAUAGAGACUAACUGCCUCGUAUAGAGAUACCCCAAGUGAAACUGGGAUCUGGACAGAAAAAGGAUACAUUCAACCAGGUCUCAAAGAAAUCAUUGUGACGAGGAUCAAUGAUGAUCCUCAAUGUCAAACAAUUAUAUCUAGAUCAUGCCAGUCAGCAUUGCAAAGAGGCAAAAAAGAUAGAAUGUACCUGCAGCAAGUUCAACACCCAAUACAAUGCUGAACAAGUAGUUGUAUUAUUCUGUUGCCAAAAGUCGUGUUCAUCAGUUAUGCCUCAAUGAUUCAUAUUCUGUUAAAUAUUUGAACCAUAAAAAAUGGCAGAGGAAAUAUAACCUUGGUAAUCUGCAGUACAAGGAAUGCAAUCCAAACGAAACAAAGGAGUCCAAGUUCUUUCCAACAAACAUUCUCCAAAAUAGAGACCUGCAAUGGCGGUGUUAUUAAUAUUGAAAACAAAAAGGAACUUGGUAACAGCAGAUUACAAAGUCGACCUACUUCUUUAUCUGAGUCAUCCUUAGGAGGAUCACUGCUUGGGCCACUAGGAAGAGGCUUGUAUUCCACAUCUCCACUACCAGUUUCUGAUAUCAUAUGACAAGUAUAUGGGCUCAGGUCAGAACGAAAAGCAUGAGGAAAGGAUCACCAAAUGAUCUUAAGAACCAACUAAAGGAAAAAAAACAAAGUAAACAACUGACCAGUUGGUUCCAAACGCCUAGCGGCCUCCUAAAAUCCAAGAGAAGAAGCUUUCAGAUAGUUAGCAAUUAAUUUUAAUAAUAUAAACACAACACACACUGAAUGAGAAAGUCACUUCAUUGUUUUUAGUAGAUUAAGCAGCAAAAAGAUAAAAUUCUGAAAGAAAUUAUCCAGAAGUUGUCAGCGCUUAUGGUAUUCUGAAAUAAAAAAUCCUUGAAAUCUUUCAACUGGCCAUCGAUGAAAACAGAAAUAAAUUAUUUUAAAAGUUUUGACAAUCGCUGCACAUCAGUAUGAGUGAAUGAGUUAAAAGAAAUCACCUUUUUCAAUAUGGUUUCCUUUUUCCACGUUUCUACACCCUUGAAGAAUGCCUUUGUUGAUGUUCCUGCAAACCAUCCGAUUGAUUGAAAUUAAAGAUCGUUCUACAAGAACAUUAUGCCCAGCAAACGCAACACUAAAUCAGCCAACCGUUACCUAGAAAGAGAAUAAUAAGUAAAACUGUGACCAUCCAAUCUGCAAAGAGCACAUUAAAAGUGACUCCAAUGCUAAUUCCCAUCAUGAGCAUUGGCUGGAUAAGAAGAGCCAAAUCAUAAUCAAUGAUAGGCAUAUCCAGUGUAGGAUGCCUUAGCUUAAGGUUGUAGUAAACAGUUGAAGCUGCUGCACCCAUGAUCAUACCUAGGAAAAUGCCAAAAAAACACAUAAAGCAUAAACUCAUCUAUAUUAUAUCAGGCUCAUUCGUUUUGGUAAUCACUGACUAAUACGAUUCAGAAUUCUCACAUUAAUGCAUUUAUAACUCAUAUAAUUUUAUUCGAAGCAUCAAAUCAAAAUACACCUAUUUAUUUCCCUUGUUAGUGUUGGCUAGGAAAUUCCAAAAUCUAGGAAUCGAAGUUAGCUUACAAGCAAAACCGUAGCUGCGAUUUUCAAUUACUGAAGUAUGGAUCAACACAAAAAUAAAGAUGAGUAGAUUCCUUUCUUUUAUUUUCUUUAAAACCAAACUCAGUGUUCUGAUACAGCAACAAAAUCUUUUAAUAAAUUCCCAUUUUUUUUACAUUUCAAGUGACCUCCUGCACCUGAGCUAUACGCUUAAGCUCAAGAACAAAUCAAACUAGAUAAGAAAAGGUGUUUAAAUAUAUACAUACAUAUAGACAGAGAGAGAGAGAGCGAGCGAGAGAGAAUGAUAAGAAAGAGUUUGUUAAAAAGAACAUAUUGAAGAAAUCCUUUUCUCUUGAUUCUUGAAAAGUGAAAUUGGUAAACAUAUUAACUAAAAGGAACACUUUACCCAGAAGAAACACGGUACUUUUUUUUUCCCAGUUUUUCGUUAUUAUUUGCUUCAUAAAAAUUUUCACCAUUUUCUUUAUCUCUCCUAAACAUUAAAAAAGCAGAAGAAGAAGAAGCUUAUUUGAACAUAAACAUCGGAUUCAAAAAACUUACAUUUCGAAAUAGCUGUGGAUGAUUUUGCAUCAAACCCAAUAAUAAGGCUAAGCAUAGGAACAAAAAUGCCACCUCCACCAACUCCACCUACACUCCCAAACGCUGCUCCAAAGAAUCCAAUUAUACUUCCCAGCACAAUUUGCCAAUUAAAUUCCAUUUCCUAUUCCCCGAAAAACAUUAAUCAAAAAGGUUAAAAAGCUAUAAACUAAGAUUAAAAAAAACCCAAUUAAAGACGUUAAAACAACAACCCAGCGAAGUGAAAAGGAAAACAUUUUUAUGAUUUGUAAAAAGGAAUUCUAAUGGUGUGUAUAUACUUACAGGCCAAACAUGGUGAUAACCUGAUUCAUCAGAUUGCCACAAGAAGUUAAUAGCUUUGAGGAAAUAAUUAUUGUUUGUUUCAGACUCCUUGACAGAUUCUCCAUUCCUCAAGCUUCUCUCAGCUGAAACUAGCAUAAAAGCUACACCAAAAUUGAAGAAAUUCAACAUUAUCGACCUCAAAACACUCGGUUUUACACCAAAUUUCGCCAUCUUGAUAGUAAAACUCGACCAACUUUUUGUUUUUGACACUCUCGCUCUUCUAACAAAACAAAUAAGACACCUUUUUUGGUAUCAGAAUCUCUCCUUUUCUACCGUUAGCUGAGAAAAGAACAACGUCAAAAAGGAGUUCAGUUUCCAAGGAUGCAAAAUGGAUGAAAACAAACAAGAUUAGAUUUAGGGAUUCAAAACCAAAAAUAAAAACGAUUGUAGAGAGAUGAUUUUUUCGGAUUUGAGAUUUGGAAAAAGAAAACGUGAACGCAGAAAAUGAAGAAAAGAAUCACAAUUCUUCGGCACUACGACUCACGUCUCUGUUUUUCUCUGUGAAAAAAGAAAAAUGACUUUCUAAACAUAGCCCGCUCGAGAAAUAAAUACACAAUAAAGUGGAUAACAAUAAAACUGAGAUCUUUCUCUUUAAAUUUUUAUCAUUAAUUUUCUUUGUUUUGACGCAGUUUGUUUGCAGUUAGGUAGGACUUGGAUAGGUUGCCUAUUUGCCCCAUUCACCAUUCGGGUGGACCUCCAUAUCCAUCUCGCCCGUUCUAGAGGUGCUCAUGGCCGGUCGGCUCGGCCCGAUAGCCUGCCCGAAAUAUAGGAGGAUUCGGGUAAAAUAUAGGCCCGAAAUAUAGGUUUAGACGAAAAAAUGAGGCUCGUUUUCUCAGCACUUUUUCAGCCCGGCCCGAAUAUAAUAAUUUUUUUUAUUUUUAAAAUAUUUUUAAAAUACUAUUUUAUUUUUUAAAAUUUUUUUUGGUGUUUAUUUAAAAAAUGGGCCGGGCUGGGCUCAGGCUUAUAUUUUUCCGGGCCGGGCCAAAAAAUUUUUCUCAGCCCCGCCCGACCCAUGAGCACCUCUAGCCCGUUCAUACAACAUUUUACUUUCCGUGUUAAUUUGGUUAAACUUAGCUAUUAGUCCUUUGCAAAAAUUGUAGAUUUAAUCUUGUAAUUUGGGUCUUUUAAUUUAUGUACUUUUCAAAUCAAAAGAUCAAUUUUAAGCUCAUUAGGUUAGGUUUUAUUUCCAAAAUUUAAUGCAGUAAACAUAUUUCCAUAUGUGUAAUACUACAUCGGUAGAGGUGCUCAUGGGCUGGCGCCCGGCCCGACGGCCCGCCCAAAAUAUGGGAGGGUUUGGGUAAAAGUAUAGGCCUAAAAUAUGGGUUUGGGCAAAAAAUGAGGCCCGUUUAGAAAAUGGGUUGAGCCUCGGGCACCACUUUUUUGGCCCGGCCCGAACAUAUAAUAAAUUUAAAUUUUAAAAUUUUUUAAAAUAAAUUUUUGGUGUUUAUUAAAAAAAUAGGUCGGGCUGGGCUCGGGCUUAGGAUUUUUUCCUGGGCCGGGACUGGACAAAAUUUCAGGCCCAUAUUUCGGUAGGGUCGGGCUCGGCCCGGCCUAGGACACGGGCCAAAAUUUUUUCUAGGCCCGGCCCAUGAGCACCUCUACAUGUCGACUUGUUAUUUUUACGUAUUACUCAAAAUUUCAGUUAAUAGAUUAACAAGUGUUAUUUGCAUCAAGACUAAAAUUUCAAAAUUCAAAAAAUAUAUAGACUUAGAAUGAUCCUAUUGGAGAAUAUGGACUAAAUCUAUAUUUGUACGGAUAGUACGAGAUUGAAUUUAACCGGAUACUCUUGUUGUUUGGGCUAGGGCUAUAAUUUCAUAUUUUGAAAAGAAUAUGGACUAAAAUUGACCAAUUUUAAAAAAGUAUAAAAACUAAAUUUAAUCAAAUUAAAAGUAUAAUGAAUAUAUCUCUAAUUUUUACAAAGUACAGGGACUAAUUCAUAAUUUAACCUAUUAAUCUCUUUUUAUAAGUAGAAAGUUUGAGAAAAAGGACUGACUCUAAGGAAAAUAAAAUAAAAUAAAAGCAGGAAGGUCCAAAGUUCCGAAUCUCAAUUUAAAAAUUUCAUCCUUCUAAUUUCCGCCCGUCAAAUCUACAUAUUCCACUUACUCUUUUUAAUAAUUCAAUCAUUAUAGCUAUCAAGUUUAAGUUAAAAGAAAUAAAAUUUAUCUAUUUAUUUUAUAAGUCAUCCAAAUAUAUAAGUAGAUUUCUCUCUAUCUAAAAAAUUAGUAAUAUUAAAUAUGUUAAUAUAAACAAUAUUUUAAAUCGAUAUGAUAAAAAUAUUGUAUUAAAUAUAAUAAGUACAAUUAUAUUAAUAAAUUAAAUUAUUAAAAAAUUACUAUAAUCAAUUUAUAUCAAUAUAAAUAAAUCUCUACCUAAUAUUAUUUUGCGUUUACUUAAUUUAACAUUGACUUAGAUGACAAUAAUCAAUUUGUAUAAUACAAAAAUUAAUAACAAAUUCCACGCAAAUCGCUUAUAAUAAUAAAAUUUAACUAUUAUUAUUUAAAUUAUCACUACAAUUUUAAAAUUAAAAACAUGCAUAUAAUACAAAAAUUAAAAGAAGCCGUUGCUUUUGUUAGAAUGAAAUCAUGGCCCAAGCUUCUUGUCGUUAUAAAUCAAGCGGUAGGUUUUCAUUAAAGGCGACGAUAGAGAAAGAGUCUCCGUUUGCGUUUUAUUCAAUCAUAUCGUUGACAUUAAAUUUUUUGAGCAAAUCUUAAUCUUUUGCGUAGAAAAUUAAAUAAAAUGGCCUGCAUUAUUAGAUUUGAGGAGAUGUAUAAGUGCACGUAAUUAUAAAUAGGUGGGCAGGUGCCAGGUAGGGACAUUGAUUUAACUUGUAAAAUUAAGUGCUGAACCCCAUUCUAUAACAUAUAAUUGGGUCUCACUGUGCCCCGACUCAUAUAUUAGCCACAAACUCACAUCAAAUUGUUUAUAAAUUCCAAUUAUAACAAUUAUAAAACUAUAGAAAAUGCAUAUAACCGUAACCACCUGAAUGAAAAUGAACAUGAAUAAAUGCACAUCAAGAUUCAUCCCAUCAAUAUUCAAAAAUUACAAAUUUAUUUUAAAAUUAAUAUAUAUAUAAUUUAAAUAAAAAUCAUAUCUAAAAUAAACUUGGACAAUAAAUGUCAAAAAUCGAUAUACAUUUAUUAUUUUGAAAAUAUUUACUAGUUAACAAUAUUUUAAUAAAAAUAUUACUUACAUAUAUCUAAUUUAUUAUUUUGAUACAUAUAUUUAACUGAAAUUCAGUACACAUUUUAAUGAAAAAAAAUUGUUACUUAUUUUUCAUAAUAAUAAAACAUUAUUAAAGACACCAUUAAAUAAAUUCAUAUACAAAAUAUUUUCUAUUUUUAAAUUAUUAAACGUAAAUCGACUCGAUCAAUAAACUCUCGAUUGAUUUUUACCUAUUUAUGGUAUAAAUGUAGACUCUAAUUUUAUUUGAUUCUUAAUAAAUAUUGACUCUUACUAAAAUAUUAAUGGUAAGAUAAUAUAGUAUGCAAUACUUUAUUGAUUAUUAUAAAACAAAAUAUUACUAAGUGUGAAUAUUAUACCAAAUCAUAUAUUAAUAAAAAAGUAAGGUUAUUAUAAAAAGAUAAACCUAUUUUUAAAUACAAUUUUAGUAAAUUAUUUAAAAAAUAUUUUUUAAAUGAAUUUUAAUAUGUAUUGCUAAUUUAGUAAUUCUUUAAAAAUUGUGUCAUCUAUUUUUUUUUUAUAAAUAAUGUCCAUAAAUAAGUAAAAACUUUUAAUGAAUUUUAAAAUAUAGUACUGAUUUAUACGAAAUCCAAGAACCUAAAAAUAUCUUUUCAAAUUUUAUAAGAGUCUUAACUCUAUUGCCAUGGACAUUGCUGCCUUUGCACGAGAAUGUAGGCUCAAGUACGCUGCAACUCAUUAUUCUUUUAUUUACAGGUUGGAGACCAGUUUUAGCAUUGUUUAAAAAAAAACAGAUAUUAUUAAAAAUUGUUUAAUAUUUUUUUAAUCUUUUUAUGUAUUAAUUUCGUAAUUAAAGUAUUAAUAAAAUCUUAACUUAAUUAAUACAAAAUUUGAACAUAUCAUAUAAUACAAUUUAAUUGAUAUAUAUAUUCAAAGCCGCACCGGUAAAAAAUAGUUUCUUUUCUAAGGGUGGGUUUGGAUAGGCGAUUGGGUGCGGUGCGUUUAACUUAUUUUUUGUCUCACGCUACAGUAUCGCUACAGUAUCUAAUCUCACCGCCACUUCUGUUUUUACACUAACCGCAGGUAAACGCACAGCCCAUCCAAACUCAUCCUAAAUCAAAAUUAAUGUUUAAGUUAAAAUGGAGUCAUACUUUGGAAAUAUUAGUACCGCUGAGCAUGAUGCAUGAAAGCAUCAGAAAUCAAUAUUUAAUCAUUUAUUUUAUUGUAUAAAAAAAAACCAUUUAUUCUAUUGCCUUAGCGUAAUUCAACCCCGUGUUUGUCUCCGAUAUUAAACGAAUAGCAGUAAACGUCAGACGACACCGAAUGCCGCGAGGGAACAGAAAAUUAAUUUUCAUUUCCAUUUCUAUUUUGAUAUUAAUUUUCGAUAUUCUGAUAAGGCUUAAUUAUCAGGUUCAUUAUUAUUACUAGAUCAUGAGGUACUGUAAUUGAUAUGAUAAAAAUAUAAAAAUUUAUUUAUUGUUUUAUAAAAUAUUAAAAAUUUAUCGAUAACUCACAACUGAAUUAAGAUUAAUUAUAAUUUUAAGUAAUAUAUUUGAUAUUAAUCAAGAGGAGUAUAUAUUUAAGAAUGUUUGAUUUUAAUAAAUAUAUAAUAAUAUAAUCAAUAAAUUCUAUCUAAAUUUAAUAUUUUAUACAUCAGUUGCAUGUGUCCUCAUCACAUUCACAAAUCUCUGAUUUUUUUUUUUUACUCCAAGAAAAUUCAAUUUAUUGAUUUCAAUUAAAAAAUAUAUAUUUAUACAGCAAUAAGUUAGAUAAAUCCAAGUCUUGAAAUCCAUAUCAAGGGGAGACGACGACGUCUAAUAAAUUUUAACCUUAUUAGUACGAUUUACAUAAAUAUGUAAUCGGGCAGCUGAUCUCAGUCUGACUUGUAAUUUGUAACUACAUAUUAGUCCUUACCUAAUUGAUAAUAAAAAACAUAUAAAUUGGCUAUUAUAGUUGUACCAGUGUUUUCACUUAAUAUAUUAGGAACGGACAUUUCUGUAUCUGAUUUGUGAAUAUGAACAAAGGCUUCGCAAGUUGGAUAUAAAUAAUGCAGCAUGCCAUGGGCAUGGGAGAUUCAAUCAGCAUCUUAAUUAUGACAUUAAUGAAUAUUCUAUCUAUAAAAAAUAUUAUUUAUUUCUUCAAAUUCAAUAAUUAUAAAAAUUAACACGCCAAGUGCAAUUCCUUUUAAAUCUUUGUAAAAUCAGAAAUAUGAACCUUAAAAUUCAAAACAGACUCUAGCAGAAAUUUUACAAUAACAGUAAUAAUUAGGUACCAGUGGUUGAACAACUUGACAUUAAUAUCAGUUUUUAAUACCCAGAAAUAAAAUAAGAGUGACGUUUGAGACUGGAUUAAAUAGGAUGACUGACGACAGUGGCAGAUUAUUGCAGUUUAUAAAUUAAUUAACCUUUUUUAAAGAACUAAUUAUCUAAAUACGCCAACGAAGCUCGUUGGUUAGCGAAUGUCAUGCAUGCUACUUCACCAAACUGAUAUUAAAUUAUCAUAAAUUAAAAGACCUUUGGUGGAAGUCAUAAGAAGGAAAAUUUAUAGUCAAAGUAACAUAUAUUUGAAAUAAUUUAUAGUCAUAUUUAAUUAUCAUGUAUAUAAAUUCAAAACAAACCUACCCACUUAGGCUUAGAAAAAUGCAUUAUUCUUACUGCUAAACAGAAAAAGCUGGAUCAUUGGUCAUGUUAAUUAAAACCAUCUUCAACAUGCAAAUUUAUGUCAUUUGAACAUAGGGUGUAUCAGAUGCAUACUCACUAAAAAUAUGAAACUAUUAAUUAGAAAAAAAGAACUAUUUUUAAAUAAUUAUAAAAAUGAUUAAAAUAAAAUAAUAUUGACUAAAACAGCUGAAAUACAUAUGAAAUGAAACAUAGAGAUGAAGAGUAAAUAAGAGAAUCGACCACGUGGUUAGAAGUGAGGUUAAUAAUUGAGAUCCUAUCCAAAUUUAAUCGAGUACUUAUCGGACCCACCACUGUACGAAUACUGUUGAGUGUUAUCAACCACGGCUUUGCGUUUGAUGCCUCCGUCUCCGUUGGACCAUUGCUGUAACACACGUACUAAUAUUCCUCUCCUUCACCCCUAUCCUUUUCUUUCUUCGAUAUAGUCGAGUAUGCGGGAAGGUCAGCAAUCGCUUUCAAAAUGACCUGGGAUCCAUUUUUAUUUGUUCCACAUUUCCACUUGUGGGUUUCCCAAUUUUCACUCCCACAUUUUAAAUUAUUUGCGUUUCACACGAUCAAUUUAACCUUUCUCGGCACAAAUGAAAGAGUCAAAAAAGAUAAAAGUCAAAAAUUGUAAUGUUUCAACUACAAAAUGGAUAAGCAUUCCAAGUAAAAUAAUUAUAAGUUGGAUAAAGGAUAAUUAUUACGAUGGUAAUUAUGUCUGUUUUUUUUUAAUUUUAAAGAACUCUACUUAUAUAAUUAUAAUAUAUAAAAUUUAAAAAUAAUUAUUAUAAAAAUAUAUUAAUAAUCUUUUAAAAAAUUAUCAUAUAUAUGAAAUAUUUGCUUUCUAACAUUGAACAUAUAUAUUUAUUGUCAUAAUUAGUUAGUGAUUGAUCAAGUAUAAAUAAUUAAUAAUAAAUAUACAUCGAUUGAAUUUUAAUUUGAUUAAUAUGAAUAUUAUUGUUAGUACAAGAACACAUGAAUAUUUUAAAAUUAUUCAAAUGAUAUUAACAAAAUAACAUUAGUUAAUUAAAUUUAAAUAAAAUUAUUUAUAAUUAUCUCAAUUGACAGGCUCCAAUUAAGUGACGAGUUAAUCUAAAAUAAAUUAUUGGAUGAAUUUCCCAACUCACCGUAAUGUUUCAAGUACAAAGGGAUAGUCCAUUUUUGACUACCUUAUCAUCUGUUCACUUCAGUGUUUCUACAAUAUUAAACUCGUGUGCAUUACUGUUCCCCUAUUUAAUUCAAACUUUAUAUAGAUAUGAUGUGUGCAAAAUUUUGAACUGAUCCGCCAUUUUUGAAUUCUCUUUCAAUGGGUUCACCACGUGAAAUUUAAAGAAAAAACAAUGGUUCCACGUGUCUUUAAAGAAAUGUUUAUAAAACAAUGUUUGGUCUUAUAAUGGAAGAAAGGGUUAAAGUUAUAAUAUUGGUUUGAUAUUUUUAGUAGUAAUUUGGUUGAUUGGAUCUGGACUAAAUUUGCUGAAAAUGUCGAAAAGGAAAGUGGAUCUGGCUUUUUUUUGGGAUAUUUGAGAAAAUAUUUAGGCUAAAGUUGUACGACGAGUUUUUAUCUUCUUUCUUUAAAAUUAACUCAUUUUCUUAAAUAUCUCAAAAAAUAAUAUUUUUUUGGACAUCACUAGUUGCAAAGAUAGUGGCCAAGUGUUUGUGCAGUCGCAGGUAAUGAUGAACCAGACUUACAUUAAUUGAGAUGAUCCAAAACACUAAUCAAACAGAAUCAGAUUAUAUUAACAUUACAUGUGGGAUUUAGUGAUUGGUCACGGACGUUGCCAGUUCAUGUUGUAUAUAUAAUCCCUUUGCUUCAGGACAGUUAAGAUGGUCCGUUAUAUCAAGCGGUCCAGUAAUAUACCUUUUGCAACUUGUUCAUUAUUGCCCCAGUUGGAUCCAGUUCAACAUUCCCUUUUCCCUUUUGGGAUUUUUUAUUAAAGCACAUGCGAGGGCGGAGCCAGAGACAAAGGAAAUAGACGGAUUCUUUUUUGGCUUUACUGUGAAAUUCACGAGCUAGAAGUUAUAAAAUUAUUUGCUAAUUGCUUUCAAAUCCUUUAAAUUUUCAUAAUUUGAAUUCGUCCAAUAUUAUAUAUAUCUCUCUCUCCGCAUGUAAUCCUCGUAUUCGUAUAGUUGGUAUGAAAAAGAAAACUCAAACAAAUACUUGAUCUUUAAGAGGUUGUUUAAACGAGUACUUAUUGUUUCAAAACAAUCGAAUAAGGGUUUAAUGUUUUUGAAUUUGAUCAAACUAGUACCUAUCUGAGUAUUUGGAUUGUAUAUAUGCAUGAGCGAAGCUAAAUUUAUUUUUACGAGGGCCGAAAUUAAAUUUUAAAUUUUAAUAGUUUAUAUCUAUAUAAUUUUUAAAUGAUUAAAUUAAACUUUUAUCAUUUUUAGGGGGUAAAAAUCUAAUUUUACUAUUACUAAUUUAAAAUUUUAAAAUUUUUAAAAGACCUAAAUAAGUAAUUUUCCAUUUUAAGAGUCCGGGUGUGUACAUGGAUAUAUUUGUGGUAUUGAAAAUUUCACUAAUGUAACAUUCAUAAAUAAUGUAAAUUUUAAAUAUAUUAAUUCCAAUGUGUAUUUUAUAUAUAAAAAAACACACACAUUAUUUGAUGAACUCUUUUACACAAUAUUAUUAGAAUCUAUUCCUAAAUUUUAUAAGAAUCUUAAAAUUCAGAAAUUUCUCAAAUUUAUCAAAGUUUUUUUUGAAUCCAAAGAAAAGAAAAAAACUAAAUUAUUAACUUAUAUUGUAAUCUUAGACAACCCAUAACAUCAAUGCCUCAAAAAACCUAAUGUUUUGGCUCUUCAUCUUCAAGGUUAGUUAGCUUAUUUGUUUUGAAGUUAUGAAUUUAGAAAAAUAGUUUUUUAAGUGUUGUGUUGUAAUGGUCUCUUUGUUUGUUUAUGUUGUCGGUUCAAACAUAAAUAAAACAAACCAAAUUGCUUAAGGUGAAAAAAACGUGAUUCUUUGCAUCUUCAAUGCCACUUGAGUACACCGCAAAAUUCAUGGUUGAUUGAAGAGAGAUUUGGAUGCUAAGGUUUUACAAUGUGUUUAGUGGCCCUUUUACCUAAAUAGCCCCAAAAAUAUUAUAUUUAUAAAAAUAACUCAGGUUUAAAAAUAAUAUCCAAAAUAACCUAAAAUCAACCGUACUCACUCUUUUUUUGCACCAAUAAUUGUCUAAUCAUUGUGUCAGAAUUAAAAAAUUAUUUUUUUGAAUUUUAGCCUGUCAAUUACCGGAACCCAUGUAUUUUUUUUUAAAUUAUAUAAUACUGAUAUACAAAAAAGAAAAAAAGAAAAAAAAAUUUUAGAGUGCUGGCCUGUCAAUGGCCGGUACCAGUAAACAGUAAAAAAGAAAUUUUUUUCUUUUUUUCGUGUCAGAGUCAGAUAUAAAAAUACGAAAAAAAAUUUUAAAAUUUUUUUUUGGGUGCUGGCCUGUCAAUGGCCGGCACCCAGUGAACAGUAAAUUUUUUUUCUUUUUUUUCGUGUCAGAAUCAGAUAUAAAAACACGAAAAAAAAAAAUUUGGGUGCUGGCCUGUCAAUGGCUGGCACCCAGUGAACAGUAAAUUUUUUUUUUUUUCGUUUCAGAAUCAAAUAUAAAAAUACGAAAAAAAAAAUUAGGUGCUGGCCUGUCAAUGGCCGGUACCCAAAAUUUUUUUUUAUUUUUUUUCGUAUUUUUAUAUCUUAUUCUGACAUGUAAAAUUUUUUUUACUGUUCACUGGGUGCCGGCCAUUGACAAGCCAGUACCCAAAUUUUUUUUUUUCGUAUAUCAGUAUUAUACAAUAUUUAAAAAAAAUACAUGGGUUCAUGCCAUUGACAGGCCAAAACCUAAAAAAAUAAUUUUUUUAAGUCUGAUACAAUGAUUAGACAAUCAUUGGUACAAAAAAAGAGUGGGUACUGUUAAUUUUAAGUUAUUUUGGUGAUUAUUUUUAAAGUUAGAUUAUUUUUGUAAAUAUAAUAUUUUUUGGGCUAUUUGGGUAAAAGAGCCGUGUUUAGUAGAUGUUAGCUUUGUGAAAUUGGGGUCCUUCAAAUCUAAAAGGGAGGAGUAGAAAGAAAGCGCAAAUGCAAUGGAUUAAAAUUGGUUUGACGUUUGCAAUAAUGUCGUGACUGUAAGUUGUGUUUUCCCUUCCCAUGGCCGAAUUAGAAAGGACAAGAACAAAGGUGUGGAGAUUAGAGCUAAGGCUUAUCAGUGGCAUGGUCCCAAUGAAAAUUUCCCCGAGAGUAGUACUAGUACCGAUGCUUGAUGCCCCCACCAGGCAAGGAACUCCUCCAUUAACUGACUAAUUACGAAAACCGAUGAUCCCUAUUCUCUUUGGGCCUGGUCUUGUAGGCAGAUUAAAGGUUGUGUUUGCGCCUACACCAACUCUAGCAGGCAAGGUCCAGAUGAAACGAAAAAAGCCCAUUCGGUCUGAUUCGGCUCUUAAAUCUUUAAACUAACCCAGUAAAGACUUGGCUAGAGUCACUACUGCCUUCAUUUCAGCGACAGUUUUAUUUUCAAAGAAAUGGGGCAGUUUCAGCUUCAACAACAGAUCAUGGCACUGAAGCCAUAUCCAUGCACAUUCAUGUCUUUAGCUUCUUGUUAUAAACCCCCUAAACUUUUCAGAAUUCGUUUUUUCCCCGCUUUUCCCACACUCAAUGAAUCCAUCAAGUUUCAUCAUCUUCAUUCUCUGCCCCCCGUUCAACCCCGUUUGGUAUGCAAGAUGAAUGGCUCAGGUUAUUUUCUACUUUACUAAUCCUAGUUCUACGAAAAUAUCUAUUUGUAAUUUGAUUGUUGUUGUAGUUUUCUAUAAGGAAAAUCAUUUCCGUGCUGACUUCUAAACGAACUCUGUCUGCUCGGCAUUUUCCCGAGCAUUUAAUGUGCAACUGCUGAUAAAACUUUGUGUUCCGAGAAAGGGAUAAUGAUUUAUCAACCCAAUGUUCUUUUUAGAUAUUAUUUCGGAUCUAGAACUUGGAAAGCCAGGGGAUAGACGAAAACCCGAGAAGCGCGUUAAUGGAGUGUUUUGGAUUAUACUUCUGAAUCUUGGAAUAUAUGUAGCUGAUCACUUGUUUAAGGUACUCAUUUACUUUCUUUUUGGUUACUCUUUGUUUAUUAUCGAUGGGAGUUUUUCCUAAUAACAUCAGUAAUACGUAAAAGCUUUCUGCACUAAUUUUUGCCUACUGAAACAAAUGAAGUUUUGAAUGGUUCAAUUAUUAAUCUUCUUGACCCCCAAAGUUUCCCUUUCAAUAGGUUCAGGGCAUUCAGUCUCUAUACUUGUACCAUAAUUGGCCUGCUUGGUACCAAUUUAUAACGUCAACGUUUUGCCAUGCUAACUGGUAAGUUCUAUCUAUGAAUGCUGUGGAAGACCAAGUGUGAAAAUCCUUAAAUCUUUUGAUAAAUGAAUUGCUGUUAUUUUAUGCGUCUGCCUUCUCAUUUAGAUGUUCAUUAUUCUGCUUAUCAUCCUUAUUUAGGAAGCAUCUUUCGAGCAACCUUUUCUUCUUGUACAUUUUUGGUAAGCAUUUUGCUCAUCGUUGACUUGAGAAUGCUUGUAAUUUUGUACCCUUUUUACUUUGGAAGUUUGAUUGUAUCCUUUUUUAUAAAACAGGGAAACUCGUCGAAGAAGAGGAAGGAAGUUUCGCAUUGUGGCUGUCCUACAUUUUCACAGGUGCUGGAGCUAACAUCGUCUCGUGGCUGGUUUUACCAAGAAACGCAGUCUCCGUUGGUGCUUCCGGUGCGGUUUUCGGGUUAUUUGCAAUCAGUGUCCUUGUAAAGGUAAGCUAAAUUUAUCCACAAAUAUAGAGAACCAUACGAAUGAAUACUUUAAAUUUUUAUUGUUUCAAGGAAAAAUAAGUUGUCUAAACAUUGGAACAAAUGGAAUGACUCGACCCCUUUUGCUUGUUGUAAGAUGUCCUGGGACUGGAGAAAGAUCCUCGAGGUUCUCAUAUUGGGCCAAUUUGUUAUCGACAAGGUCUGAAAUUUUUAAUAGACUAGUUUUUAUUUCUUGUUCCUGAAAGAUUAUAUUGAAUCAACAGCUUCCUAAUAACGUUUGUGAUGUUGGUUUGGGGCAGGUGAUGGAGGCAGCCCAAGCUUCAACAGGCCCGUCUGGGUUUUCCUAUCCCUUGCAAAACGUCAAUCACAUUGCACAUCUCUCUGGUGCUCUUAUUGGUGUUCUUCUAGUAUGGCUUCUCAGCAAAAUUCCUUCUGAGCCUCUUGAUAAUGAAAUAUCAAAUUCUCCUAGAAAGAGAAGUUGAGGUUCUUAAGAGUUUCUAAAAAAGUUCAUCAAAUUGUGAGUUAACGUAUCAUUAUGGAAUGGUGAUUGAAUAGUAGAGGAGAUGAAAUGUGGCCCAAUUGCUUUAUACACGUAAAAAAUUUAAUGGUUCAACGAAUUUUGAAUACCUCCCAUAUAUGUAUACUGUCAUCUUCAAAGAAAAAUAAAGCAAGUAGACGUUUCUAAAGCUAAGCAUGACAUAGGAGUAAACCCAUGUUAUGUUAAUAUCUAAAUACGAUAUUGAUAAUAGACCCUUUGGGGAAUAACAUUUCAACCGCAGAAAAUAGAAAACAUGACAUGUAGAUGGGGCUGAACGAUCCUCAGUGUUGAGCAAGUAUAAGAUCACCCAUGGGUUGCAUAUCACUAUUUCAUACAACACAAAGGGAUAGAAGUAAAUUGUUAUGCAUAAUGAAAAUAAAGUCGUGAAAGCUCAUAAUAUAAAACAAAACUUCCCGUUUGUAGACAUUUGGUGAAAAAUAAGAAAGUAACACAGUUGAAAGAAACCCAAAAACCUAUCGUUUCUAAAUUCAGGAAUCUCUCUGAACAAAACGAAAACAUCACAAAUUAACUUACGAAGCAGCAACUGCUCCCUUCUUCCUUGGAGUUGCUUGAGUACCUGACAGACAGACAAUUCAACAACACCCCAUCACUAUAUGCUAUCUACCAAACAUGUUUUCAUUUUAAUCAACCAUGAUUGAAUACGAAAUAAUCAUAAAUACCUUCUGUAAAGCCAGUCUUGAACCUUCGGGGAACAUGUCGGAGGUACCUCAUGCGGCCAGUCCCGGUGGUCUUUCUUCUAAUAGCCUUCACGCUCCAGUUAUCUUAAAAUCAAUAACACAACACAACCCAAUCCAACAAAUUAAUUAAACAAGAAGAUAUUAAAACAAAAGGCAAUGUUCAGCAGACAAAAUGCCUUUAAAAAAACAAACACAUAAACCAUAUUUUCAGGAUUCUAUCUUUCAACCAAGCAAUGACACUCAAAGAUAACGGAAAAUGGUCUAUGAUCUGUUAAACCUAAAUCAAGAAAAUAUCUAACUUAUAAGUUUCAUUGGAUAUCAUCACUUAUCCUGAAAAUUUUCAUUUGCUAAAUUUAUCUAAGUUCAGCUAAGCAACUACCAAGAGAGCUACAAUGACUAAAAAUAUACGUCAGAUUUGGAAAAUCUAAAGAAAAGAAAAGAAAAGAAAAAUAAAGAUCUUACAUUUUCGGAUGCGACUGGCAGGGUAGCCACAAGCACCGCAACGGCUCUUCUGUAGAUGGAAGCUUCGGCGACCACAUCGAACGCACAGCGUGUGAGUCUUGUUCCUUCUCUUUCCAAAGCUUCCAGUUCCUUUUCCCUAUCCAAAAAAUGAAAACCUUUAAAGUCAUUUUCUAUUUCUUCUUAAAUGGCACGAACAAUAAGAACGAAUUCGAAUAAUGAUAAUGAUGAUACCAUUUUCUUUUGUUCUUCGAGCUGCAAAAACACCAGAAAAGUUUUGACCAAAUCUAGGUUAAGGUAUUUAUAUAGAGAUGAAAUAAAUUAGGGUUUUGCUCAUUUUCGACAACCAAGACGCCAGCGAGAGAGUCCAAGACAAUUCUAACGGCGUUCUUUUCUGAGCCCAUUUACCAAUAACGUCCACUAAUAAAGGUAAAGGCCUUCGGUUCGGCUUCAAUGGGCUUUUGUUACAUUUCUUUUAUUUUUUCUGUUCGGAGGCUUAUGUUCAAUUUAUUCAUAUUUUCUCGAGCAUGUGAAUUCUUUUAGGCAAAAAAAACCUGGAAGAGGAAAAUAAAAUUUAUUCAAAUCAUGACUAAAACCAAUGAAAGUUUGGGUUUUGAGUAAUUAGGUUUGAGUUUUGUUAUGUGUAGUUGGUGUGAACGGGUCUUCAAUUUUAUCAUGUGCAAUAAUACAUGUUCGGGUUUUAGUUUAAAUCAUUUUUUAUUAUUCAUCUAUUUGUGUAUUGUAAUGAUUUAAUUAUACUUUUCAGUUAUGCAUAUUAAAAUUUUAUUUAUGUAUUAAACUAUUUUUUUCAAAAUUUUCUCUAUCACUUAUAUCAUACAGUGGAUUAUUUGAAUACUCGUACGUUCCUUAAGAUUUUGUCGCUCUCAAGUGGGCCGGCUUUCAUAUAUUUGAACUUGGAACAUAACACAUAUUUAAGUACUCUAUAGAAUAGAUACAUAAGAGUGUACAAAAAAAACAAUUCCAAAUUAUACUAUCAAAAUAUGACCAAGUGACUGGAUGAGCCAUAAGAUAUAUUAUAAGUAUGUAUUUUUUCAAUAAUUUUACUUGGAGAAGUCUAAAACUUAUGCUAACAGUCUUCUUCACGAUAUUAAGCAAAAUACAAAUAUAACACAGGAAAUAAUUUAAAUAUAAUACAAAACGUGAUACAAAUAUACAAACCUUCAAAUAUAUAAAUAUAUAUAUGAGAUAUCAUUGAGAUUUGGUCUUCUGAAAUAUUGUACAUAUUUGGUGCUACAAAUCCUUGCUGGGCUGCUACGUCAUAAAAAGAAAGUUGAAAGCUCCCUCGCUUUGGGGGUUAUAUAUUAACUACCAAGUGUGUGUUUUGAAUAUCCAUGUUCAUAUCCUUCUGCAUUAUUACUAUUUAUCAUUAUUAUUUUUUGGAAAAGUUAAUGCUUUUCAAAGUUGGAUUUAAAGAAUGCAUUGCAUCAACUUUUUAGUAAUCUUCACAAGAAAACAAAAGGGUUAGUCCUUGUCCAGAAUAGAAAUGCAAAUGGACUAGCCUUGGUGUUCCCAUGAUUACUUUGAAUUUGACAACCCUAUCACAAUGGAAGUCAGAGAUGAAGCAAUAAUAUGUACUGGUCCAUGUUUAUUUUUAAUGGAAAGUCCAAUUUAAUAAAGCUUAAAAAGGAUUCAUGUACUCAAUUUAUCCGUUGAUACAAAUUUCAGCAUAUACAAAAGUGUAAUUUGGAAAUUCCCACUCGAUCCUGCAAGGUACAAAGAACCGUGCAAAAGGCCUAAUGUUAUAUAUGAAUUCGUGAGCAUGCUUGAAUAAUGAGAAAGUAAUAUGCAAAAAGGGCAAAGUUAAAGAAGAUAAUAGAGCAACCUAAGCUGGGGAAGAAUCAUAGCUAGCAAUAUCCAAGACAAGAGCAAAGUGGAGAGGGGGAGAAAGUGGACAAGUGGGUUUUGAAGCUUAGCUUUCACCAAGCACAUAGAAAUAUAAAAACAAUACGCCUCUCGUAAUUUCUCCCAAUAAUUACUUGUCACUUACAUGGAGAAAGAAACUCCUUGGAGACUGACAUAAAGCUACCUAUACAUUAACAACACAUCACCCCUCCAUCUGUAUAUGUGAACGACAGAUGGAGGGUGUGUUGGAAAAAGCUAGCUUAAGGGUUGAGAUUCAGCAAAGGAAGCUUUUUCUUUUCCCCUGCUGGCUGAGUUUUGAAUUUUGAAUGUUGAUGAUGAAAGGGGAAAAGAAAAAGUACAUGAAGAUGGACCCUGUGAGUAAAUUAACACCUUCACGGAGCAUGUGAGGAUUAGAAAGGUGGUGGUGGUAUGUAUGGUGUAAAGCUUGAGAGAGUGGCGGUCCCUCCCAAUAUGGAGAAAAAGAGUGGAACAAUUCUCUGCAUGAACUGGAUAUCUCUCCACUCCACUCUCUCCCUUAGUGCAACAUUUCUUCUUCUUCCUAUUAUUGUUAUGAUGAUAUUCAAAGUCUGUCAAUUUCAUCUCUAUGCAUGCGCUUGCUUGCUCGUCUUGCCCUUUUCUUCCAUCCAAUUUCCCUCAUGCAUAUCCAUCUUUCCUUGUUUUUUUCUUUCAAUAUUUCUUUUAGUAACAUUUAAUUUAUUCCUAAUGGAGUUGAAUUUAAGGCGGUGAAUAUUUCAUAUUUUUAAACAUUAUAUAUAUACAUGACAAGUAUACUUAAAUUUAUACUAUAACCAAUGGAGGAGACUGUUAAUGAAGAAUUUGGAGGUCCGUCAAAAGUUAAAAUCAAUUAAAUCUGAUUCAGUAGGCAAAUCUAAUGGAGACAAUGAAUAAGUUGGCGGCAUAUGCAGCUAAAAUAGCAUUCAAUUCCCCUUUAUUUUUUAAUAAAGAAUAAUUAAAUUGGAGCCAUCAGCAAGCCAGCACUAUCAACAUUUCUUAUAUAGUUGAUAAUCCCGAUUUUAUAUCACCAUCAUUCUAAAAAUAAAUCAAUAAAAUAUUACUUAUUUAUAUUUAGUAUAUUCUCUAACUUAAUUUAAUUUCAAUUAAACUACCUAAAAUAAUUAUUUUUUUAAAUUACAAGCAAACAUCUUUUCUUUUUUUACAAAUUUUAAUCAUUUUAUUUUUUUUCCAUAAGUUUAUAUUUUUUAUUUUUGUGCAAUUUUUUCCAUGUCAUUGAUACAUAAUUUCGGUAACUUUUUACCCGAACCUCAAAUUUUGAACUCAAACCCCUGAAGCUUAAAUCUUGAACUCCAAAAAUUGAGGUUCAAGUUUGAAUUUGGGGUUCAAGGGUUUGGAGUUCGGGAUUCAAAGUUUGGGUUCGAGGUUAUGAGUUUGGGGUUCUAGGUUUUGGGUCCAAAGUUCGGGAUUCUAGAUUCAGGAUUCAAGGUUUUGGGUUUGGAGUUGAAGAAAAAAAUAAUUACCAAAAUUAUGUGUCAAUGAGAUAAAAAAAUUGUUGAAAUGACAUUAAAUAAUUGGAAAUGAACCAUGAAUAAUAUGGUGGGAAUGUUCCAUAAAAUAAUUCUUCUAUGUCUUUAAAAUUUGAAGAUGUGCCAAAAUUUUAUUGGUACCUACAAACCUUAGUUUUUAGGGUUAUUCAUUUAAUUUUUGUAUGUAAUUGUAAAUUAUAUAUAUAUGUUGCAAUAAGUGGAAGAAAAUAAAAAGAAUAAAGUUUAAAUCCUGAUUUUUGUUUUAUAAAAUGUCUAAAGAAGCCUUCUUAAGCUGUUGGCUAUAGUUAUAAUCUUAAAAUUAUAUAUUUGUCUGUUUGUUGGAAAAGAAAACAUAUAUUAUUGGUAGAUGAUUAAUGGUUUUGGCAGUUUCCUUUUUUCUUUUUUUGGUUUAGAAGUGUAUCCAGUUUCGUGACAGUGGAUAACAUUCAAAGGAAAUAUUAAUGAUGAAAUUCAUGGAUUCCAAUCACGAGUUGUAUUGUUGUUAGAUGAAUAAGCAUUUCGUUGACUGAUUACUUCCCAGCUGGCUUCAUGUUGCUAGCAGUCAAUUUUUAGGUCUUUGGAAAUUAACUAUCCAUCAUAAUAAACCUCUUAAAAGAAAUAAAGGAAAAUUUGCAUUCAUCAAUUUUAAUGGACCAUGCGAAACUCAGACUAUGAAUGAAAGAAAACAGUCAUUCAAUUAUUUUGAGAUUUUCUUUUAUCUAUUUUUUAGUUCUAUUUUUUAGUUUUACUUUUGCGGGUGAUUUUAGGGUUAAUUUUGUCGUCGUCCUUUCUAGUUUGGUGGAUAUACGCGGUUCUUUUUCUGAUUUAUGCCCGCCGCUUUGGAUCACAAGGCUGAUUUUCUCAUUGUAUUAAGUGCUUGCAAUUACUCCGAAUAUGUUGUGCUUGAGUUGUGACCAACAUGUCAUUAUGUUCUGUUGAUGCCGAGACUGAAGCCUUUGUUGUGUUAAUGGAGCUUAUCCUUCAUCGCCUACAACGGGUGUCUGUUAUUCUUCCCCCAAUUGUAUGGUCUCAUUCGUUGAAUGAAUUAAUGGAUCUCCCUUUAAAAAAAAUAUUUUGAGAUUUUCUUUAAGUUGUACUCUACCCUAUUUAAUUUAAAAUCAAAUUAUGAAAUUAUUUAAAGAUAAUAAAUUUUAUUAAAUUUGAAAGUAUGAUUUUUUUUUUAAGUCUCGUUAAUUCAUGACGCAAUUUCAAUUAAGCCAAUUGAGUUUUUUUUAUUUUGGAUUAUUAAUUGAUAUUUAAGAAAUAUAUAUAUAUAUAUAUCUAAAUUUAAAGAAUUAGUCAACAUAUUCAGGAUUCCAAUCUAACUUUUUUUUAUUUUUAUUUUUUUUAAAUAUUGUAUUUAAAAGUCGAAUGAUUUAAAAUUUAAUAAUCUAUCUUAAAAGUUGGUAUAAAUUAAAUUAAAAAUAAAUAUCAAUAUUAUCAAAAUUUAAAAACGAAUAAUUAUUGAAAUUAACUUUUUUGGAAAAGAAAGGGAAACAUUUUUAAUUAGUUUGGUGGGAUUGUGAUUGAUAUAAUAUACACUUGACCAUUAUAGUGAAAACAAAAACAAAUGUAAUGAUUAAAAUGUGAUAUUCUCGAAAUUCAAGUUUUCCUUUUGUCGAAGAACAACGCCAGCUAAGAGAUGUUUAUUAGGUCAUUGUCAAGCUUCGGAAACAGCCAUUAAAUUGGAUUUAUAGUAUAGUAGUGAGAUAAUUAUUAAUGUAUUUAUUAUCAUCAUUGACGCCUACUUUGCAAGACAAGAAUCCCAAUCAAAGAAAUUGUAGAUUUGGUUACGCUUAAACAAAAUCCAUUUCAUUCAUGUAUAUUGUUGGUGCCACAGUUACUGAAGAGUGGACCAUUUUGACGUAGCGAUGUAGCAAAAUUACAAUAAUUUAUUUAUCAUUUUUAUAACCAAUCAUGCUUCACUUAUAAUAAAGCCACAAACUUUGAUUAGAAUUCGAUAAGGUAGAGUCUCAUUUCAAAUAUAUAGUUUUUCGGUUACAUAUUAUUUAAAGAUAAAUACGUAUAACAUGGCGAAUCUAGAUGAAGUAGUUUCGACUGAAUACUACUUGAAAAUUUAUUUGAUGAUUUAAAUUGGGAUAAAUUGGAGAUAAUUGAUGAUGUGAUUGAUGCUCCUGAAAGAUCAAUUUUACGCGAUAAUUUUAAGAUAAUUCAAAGAUAAUAUAUAUGAUAAUUGUGUGAAUAAUUAUUAACUAAACCUUGUAUUAUCUCGUUUUGAUCAGAUAAGAUUGUGGUGUUUUGUGAAUAGAAAGAUUUUCCUGGGAUUAAACAACGAUUUGCACAAUUUGAUUUAUUUGUGAGGAAUGCUUUUAUGCUCUUUUAUUUUACUUUUGAGAAAAUUUCUUUCAUGGGAAUGAUUGUUUUCGUUGGUGAGAGUUCAUACUAAGUGUAUUUAGGUGAGUGUAAUUAUUCGAGGGUCAGGAUAGAUUGAGCUUAAAUAAUUGCUUCUACAAUGAGAUUAAGUGGUUGGAAUUUCUUCUCUAUCAAGACGUCGCAGAUGUAGAUUAAGUUCAAACGGCAUAAAUAACUUCAUACGUGUAAUAUUUUAUUCUUUUUGUGUUUACUUAUCGGUAUAACAUUUGGUAUAUCACUCAGUGUAUCCACAUCUCUUGACACACCUUAGUAUCAAUUUCACAUUUUCAUAUAUAUGUACAUAUAUAAUGAUUUCUUAAACAUGCCUUGACCAUAAUCUUCUAAUUUGAUGGAAGGGAAGUGGGGAUGAAAUUGCAAUGAAUAGAAAUUUCUUUAGUAAAUAUGUAAAAUGAGCUUUAAUUAAGGUCAAGCACAAUAUAAGAUCGAAAAAUAUUUUAGUUAAAUGUGUUAGAUUAUGUGAUGUAAUCACAAAAUUUUGCAUUAGGUGAUGUAAAGUUAAUGAUUUACAAAUUAAAGAAAUUUAUUUAUAGUAUUAAGUAGACUUUUUGUCAAUGAUAUUACAAAUUUCACCAAGUAAUUAUCUCGUUUUUUUUUUUAAAUUUGGUUGAAGAUUAUAUAUACAAUAAGCAAGAGUAAGCAUUUUUUUUUGUUUUGUUUUAUAUACUGACGACAUAAUCCUUGUCAAUAAUAUUAUAAGCUUGUUCCAUGAAACCAAGAACCUUCAAGUAAGAAAUUUUGAAAUGUUAUACAACUUUUUUAUUAGGGUUAGAUAUAUUACUGUCGCUCUCCAGGAACCCUUAAAUUAUUGUAAAGGGAUUAUAUAAAAAAAUGUAUGUAAGAAAUUUGACACGUAGGAUUGUUAACCAUGUGACACCCAUGUUUUUAGUAAUUAAUUUUAGUGACUAUGUGACAUAUAUUUUUUAUUUGUAUAUAUUAUUUCUAGAAAAGAGAAAUUUUCGUUCUUUUAAUUAUGUAUAUUGUAAUCUGAAAGAUCAAAACUAAUAUCAAAAUCAAAAGGAGUUGAAGUCGAGGAUUGAUAUGUGUGAUGCAUGAUUUGCUUACUGUUUGUGUAGUGGGAAGAGAAGUAGCAACAAAGGCCCAAACGGGCCGGCCAUAUGGGAUCCAUCGUAUGAGCCGUACACACCUCCCAUCAUCCCAUCUCCAUUCAUUGCUUUAAAUAAAGCUUGCACCAAAGGAGAGGAAUGAAAUAAAAUAAAAUGAGAUUGAGAUUUUUAUUAAGGAAUUUAGAAUUUGAGAAUUGGAUAAAAUUGAACUUUUUAUUAUUAUUAUAAGUUUAUUGUAUGAAUCCAUUAAGUUAGAUGAUAAUGGGAAGCAUGCGGUGAAUGUUGCGGGCUUAUAUGAAUCAUAUAUUAUUUACUAGAUGCAUGCAUGCAUGUAUGCAUAACAAGAAGACAUUUCUACAUUCCGACGUAGGAGAAAAGUGGCCCACAUCUGAUUCGAUGGCGAGAUGAAAACCAUGUGCAAAAGUGUUUGAUGCUAGCUUCUAAAUAUACAUCUAUUUAUUACUAAGAUUCUGGUUCAUCAGUACACAAAUAAUGCCCCUUAAUUAAAGUGUUUUCUGAAUAAAAAUAAUAAUUUUCAAAAUAUUUAUCUUCGGCUUAAGGAUCUGGUUUGACUUGACAUUAUAUUUGUAAGUAGACAUGCUUUAAUUUUCGAAUUUAUUAAAUUACAUAAUAAUAAACUCUCUCGUAUUAAAAAAUUACAUAAUAAUAAUUUUUUGGUUGCAUCUAUUUGUAAUGUUUUAUAAAUAAAUAAAAAUAAUCAGGUUGUCUUAUCGAUAAGAAUAAAAGACAAACAUAAUUUAAAAAAAAUCUGAUUGAUCCUUUGAUCAUGGUUUCUGCUUUUUGGCACAAUUAAAAUAGAGGAAGAGAUGCAUAUAGCAAGAAAUUGUAUAAUUUUUUGAAGGAAAAUGUUUUUUUUUUUUAUUGUUGAGUGGUGAAGAAAAAUGGAAAUUAAGAUGGCGAAGGCAAGUGAAAGUAGUUGGAAAUUGGAAAUAUAGGAUAAAUGGUCCAUGCAAUGCAAAGCAAUAUGUUACCAACAAAUAUAUGUAACACAUGUUAAUUAGGCUCCCAGCCUUGAAUAGAAAUUGAAAACGACCAAUUAUUCCGCGGUCCCUUCUCUUUUUAUCUCCUGCAAAAGCUGCUUUUCUUUCACCUAAUCUUUUUGUCCGUUUAUAAUUUUUUAAGCUAUAAUUGGGGGAAGGAUCCGUUUAAUUGUUCUUUUAUAUAUAUAUAGUUGAAUUUCUUUUCUUUAUGACAGGCUAUCUAUCAAAUCCAACUGAAUUGUCAAACCAGCUCAACUUUUGCAGAUGACACACAAUGGGUUACAUACAGUUAUAGCCAGGUCGACCCUUUUUCCUUUGUUUAAAAAUGAAUUGAUUGGUCCCUUCAUUUUCCUAAAGUGACACGUAAGUUCCCUUCAUUUUUGUUGAAGCAUGUUUGCUCUACUUGCAGCAAAAAUGGGACUUUCUUUUAAUAAAUGUAAUCUCCAUGUACAUGUAAUUUAUUGCUCAUUUUUAAAUGCACAUGAUGAGGUGGUCGAAAACAUUCUAUUUGGAAGGAAAUCAUUUUGACAGCGAUAUUGCCGGUGUUUGAUAUGAAGCCAAGCACAACAACAGCAAAAAGCCAAACAAAUAAUAAAUGCUUUAAAGGAAGCUGCAUCUGAUUGUUACUAUCGAUUAUGGUAAUAAAUCACAAUCUCCAAAGCCUUAUGGAAAGUACAGGUCAAAAAACAAAUCAUAUGCUAUGCAAAACACUUACCAGAUAGAAUCCAUAGCUCCAGUUUUUUCCUUUUUAUCUCUUUAUAAAUAUAUAUAUUCAAUCAAAUACUCAAAUUUCAGCUUCAUCUGAAUCUCUUUGUGUCUCACCCUAAAAACGAAAAAGUAUGAUGCCUAAUUAGGGAAAAAUGGUAAUGUACAAGAUGUACAAAUAUAAUCUCAGGUCCCUCACACAAUCCAAUUACAAAAAACCGACCCGUGUUCUUAAACACUUUGAAAUUCAACUUUCCUUCAUAUACGUCCCCAAGGCUUGCAAUGGCAGCUGGCUUUGGUGUCAUCUAGAAAAAGGAGACAAGGGUUCACUGAGACAACUCUCUUCCUUAAUUUUGCUCAUGUGCCUUUGGCUUUGGCUAUGAAUCAAUCAAUAUCCACUGCUGCAUGUUCACGUGCAGACGCAGUAUAUUAUGUAGUAUAUCUUCCAUCUUCAACCAAAAAAACUCUCGCUCUCUGACGAUUUUAAUUCAAAAAACCCAAGAAAAAUAAAGCUAAGGGAAAAAUGAAUCAACCACGGAGAUUAUGAUGAUGAAUCUGAGGAAGGUUGCUGCAAAAGUGAACGAGUGAAGGCCAUACGGUGUUUUGCUUCAUGUUUCCAACACCGUUCAAUGUCUUCUGCAAUCCUCCUAGCAUCCAUUGAUGUACCAAGUAACCCACGUUUUGUGAACCCCACGGCGUAUAGCCCACUUUCACCUUUCCACCCAUUAGGGAAUGGCCUUCGAGGGUACCCAUCUUUCUCUGAGAACAUCUCUCUUUCCUGUCAAUAUUUUCAAUUUCCUCUUUUCUUUUAGCCUUUUUUUUGUUGGUAAAGGAAAUAAAGAUAAAAGGGCAAGUAUAUAUAUAUAAUAUACCUUUAGCCAAGAGGGUACAUUGCUUUUAUAACCAGUUGCUAAGAUGAUUGCAUCAAAGUUCUCAGUUUUGCCAUUAACAAACUCCACGGCAUGUCGUUUUAGGCGCUUAAUGCUUGGACAUACCUAUAGUAUAACAACAUCUAUAAGUUAAAGAAUUUCGAAAUUUAACAAAAAAAUGGUAUGGGAAUUAUUGGGAAACUAUGUUUGUGGCAAAAAAGAAAAGCAUGUGGGUACGAUUGUGGAAACACAGUUCGUUAGUUGUCAUCAAUGAACGAAAAAAAAGGGCAGGUGUUAUGUGAUUUCAAUGAGAAAAGGCAAAGUACCUUAAUGUCUCCACUUUUGAUAUUGGCAAGCGUGCCAACAUCUAAGACGGGGGUCUUUCCAGACAGAUUCUUGAGUUCCAAGGGACCCAAUCGUGGCCGGUCCAAUCCGAUGCGAGCGGUGUCACCCAACAUCAACCACGUUACAAUCAGCAAUAAGCGAUCGACGAACCGAAUGGGUAGCCAGUUGAGCAACCACAUGGACAACCCGAAAGUUGAUCGCCCCAGCAUCUCUCGUGGAAGGACGUGCACCUUCAGUUCCAUAAAACAAAAAAGCCAGGUUUUUGAGUGGACUCGAAACUAAAAAAGCAAAAACAUGAGUUGAUAUAGAAUGGGUUAGUUGCCUCCAGGCCAUUCCUCCAUAACUUUGGAGUUAGUUUUCUUUAGUCUUUUCCAGGGGGAAAAAAACUUAAUCAUAGGGACAAAAAAGAAAAAAAGGUGUAGAUUCAUUAUGAUUACGACAACACAAGAUCUUAACGAUGAUGAGCAUGCUUGAGAAUCCCAAGAAAGUGAGAGAUCAAAGAUUUUAUCUUCUCUUUAAAUUUUGAUUUAUAUAAUUAUGUUCAAUAUUUUUUUCCCUAUCUAUCCCAAUUAAGAUCUCUUUUUUGGACCCAAAAGAGAUCUCUUUGUUCACCUGAAAUUAUUACUUAGUAACAGAUUGGUUUGAAGCGACACAAAUUAUGGCAGUUGUGCCAUUUGUGGUGAAACAUAAGCAAAAAGAUUGAAAAAACUUGUUCAAUUAAAAACCAUCUUUUAUUCCUCACAAAACAAAGAGGGGGGUUCAGAAACCCUUUUUUUUUUUUUGGUAGUGAACUUUACCAUUAAAACAAUGAAAAAGAUAAAAGAAAAACCCUUUAGUGGAUGUGAUUUUGGGUUAAAUAUGUUUAGUGGGAAACAGAAGAAAUUUUAUAUCGAAGAAAGAGAGAGAGAGAGAGAGAGAUAGUGAAGAAGUACUUACUGUAUCUCUGACCACAAGUGAAGGCUUAGCAUUAUGAUUGCAAAGAUCCAAACACACCUCCAUUCCUGAAUUCCCACACCCCACCACUAAAACCCUUUUUCCUCUGAACUCUUCUCCUCUUUUAUACAAACUUGUAUGCCUUAUGUCCCCACCAAACUCUCCCAUUCCUUCCAUCUCCGGCAUCACAGCCUCCGCAUUCUCUCCCGUCGCCACCACCAACCACCGGCACACGUAUUCCGUCCCUUUCCCAUUUACUCCAACGCUUUUCACCCGCCAAAACCCCAGCGUCGCGUCGUACUCGGCUUGGGAAACCGUCUCAUUGAACCGUGGUUUAAUGCCGAACUCCCUUGCGUAUGCUUCCAAGUAGUCCACGAAUUGUUGCUUAAUAGGGUAAGUAGGGAAAUCAGUAGGGAACCCCAUCAGAGGAAGUUCGCAGAACUGUUUAGGCAAGUGAAGGCGUAGACGAUCGUAGGUCUUGAGUUGCCACAAAGAUGCUAUGCAGUUGGAUCUCUCUAGGACUACACUUGGCACCCCUUUCUCUUUUAAGCAAGCUGCUGUGGCUAGACCCGAAGGCCCUGCACCAACGAUAAGUGGCCCUGGAACACAUAUGCAACGCCACGACGCCGACGUAUUCAUCUUCUCUAUGAAUAUGGGAUCGUGAGCUUGUUUUCCUUGUAUUUCUCUCAAGCAAUCCAUGAACAGACCGCAAUUUGAGACUAAUUUUUUUUAUACCACCACUAUAUAUAUCCUUUUUGUUAGCUAUACGAAGCUAGCUACUACGCAACUAAAUAGCUACCGCUAGCUAAAGUACGUUCAGGUUGAGGUUUUGAUGAGUUUCCAAAGGGAAGGAAAAGGAAAAUGAAACUAAAAAGGGCAAGAAAUUGCUGUACUUCGAGGCUUAAGAUGGAGGGAGAGACAGAUGGUGAUGUACUGAUAUAAUAUAUAUAUAACUCUCUUCUAUGUAUAUAUUUCUUUGGAGAAUGUUCUGUAAAGGAUUCAACUCAUAUUCAUAUAUGAGGUAAAUUAAGUUUAAGAAGCAACUAAAAAAAAAGAGGAAAAUUUAAAGUGGGGACAGUGUUUUUUUUUUUUUCCACAAAAUAGACAGACAGACAGUAUUGAAGUUUAGAGAUGCUGGUAGGAUAGAGUGUGUUCCGUGUAUAUAAAUGGUAAAAAAAAUGGAAUUAACUUCUUUUUUUUUACAAAAAAACCCCUAAACUAAUAAUCCCAAAAAUAGGAUUAUAUGUUAAAAUUAUGAUUAAUGUAGAAAAGAUGCUGGUAGGAUUCUCACAGGAUAUUGAGUUUUGAUUAUGGUUGGCAAUCAUAGGACCAAGUUGGGGCGUGGUGGGUUGUGAAUAAUAGCCAAGAUGCCUCCACAUCCAAUGGUGUUGAAAUUGGAGUAUUACUAUUGGGAUAUUUUUUGGAUUCUAGGGGCCGAUUCUGUAAUCAUGGGAUUUUAGAUUCAAGUGUUUUAGAACAACAAAAAAGCAGGAUGGCAUGUGCAUUUGGUUCAGUUUUAUGCAUAUGAGUUGCCUCCCAUCAAUGUUUGCAGCUUCAGUUUGACACAGACUAGUUUAUGUUUCAAUGUUGCGAACUUGAUUUGGAAUUUGAAUUCAAUACAGCAAAAAUAUAUAUAAUGUGAAGUGGGAUUCGGCUUGUCAUACGGCAAUGGUGGUGAUGAUUAGAGUGAGAAUGGCAUGGCGGUUAGGGUGGGGAUGGAUCAGUGGCCAUUGUCACAUUGGUGCAUGGCGGUCCCAACAUUUAAUAUUUGAAGUAAUUUCGUGUUUGCAGGGAAGGCCCUACCAAUGCCAUUGCCAUUGCCCAUGGCUUCCUGCUUAUCUUAUGAUUUUUCUUUUGCCCACAGCAACUUCAACAAACUGGAUACUUAAAAUAUCAUCACAUCCCAAUAAGGGAUUGUUGCCUUUCAUUUAAUUCCAUAUCAUAUAUAUUUGAUCAAGCUGAAAGUUAGUCCUUGAUAUUUUAUAUUUUUAUUCGAAGUAACCGGUUUGAUUUUACAGUUUUCGGUUUGAUGGAACUAAUUGCGUAAUAAAAAGUUGUGGUCUAGUCCAUAGCUGGUUGAGGUCGUGCCAUUGUUUGGUUUAAAUCAUGUUCAGACCCAAGUUACACUCAGUUUGACCACCAAGUUUCAUUUGGUUUUAGGCAACAGGAGUUGUUUUUAUUUUAGUUUUUGAAAAUGAUAAAGCAGUUAUUCUAUUGUUUUACCUAAAAAUGAUUCAACACUUUUUAAAUAUCAAAUUUAUUAAUUACUGAUUACAUUUCAAUUUAGAAUUUCUUAUUCUUUUAUUUACUAUGUUUCUAUUAUAAGAAAAUAUGAACCUAUUUACAAAAUAUAUUUUUGAAUAUCCGAAAAUAAAAAAUAUUUUUAAAAGUCAAACAGAGCCCGAGUAUUCUUUUUUUUUUUUAAUGCGAGGCAGCAUCAAUAAGUAAUUUUAUUAUUUAAAUAUUAUAAAAUAUUCUUUAAAAUGAAUUUACAAAUAUAUAUAAUUACUCAUAAGAAAAGCCUAAUUUAUUAAAAAUUAGAAUAAACCUACACACGAUUUGUACAUAUUGAAAUUUGAACUCGUGACAUUUAUGUGUACUUAAUAUCUUAAUGACUCAUUUGUUAUUAUAAAAUAUUUUUAAAUAUUAUAAUUACAAUAACAUGGCAAAGUUCAAACAACAAGCGUGAUUAGCAUAACUCGAACGAGAGGAUCGAACCAUCUUCAAAAACUAAAAUUUAAUUAUCUUGUUGAAUUCCGACCGGAGACUAUACUAGUCUUGAACUUUGUUGCGUGAUGAAAUUCUAAUCCAACUUACAAACCAUAAUUUAUUGGUAUUUAAUUACAAUAAAAUAAAUUGAUUUUUGUAUAAAUUUUACCAUUAAGUGAUAGUGCGUCAGCCCGAAGAAGUCUCUAGCACAUGCACAUGAAUGAUAUUUUUCAACAUCUUUCAGAUAUUUUCAAAAUUGUAAGUUUAUUUUUGGAUUUUUUUAGAAUUGUAUACUUGAUUUGGAAUGAUUUUCAAUUUUUCACUAACAUUAAAUUAAAUUUUAUUUCAAUUAGUCCUAUUGUGCAUCGAUGCAUUUCUUUAAACCAUUAUAAUUGCAAUAAAAAACUAAUUUAGGUGAAAAACUAUUAAUCAAAUUAUCAAUUAAUAAAACAAUACCAAAUUAAAUAAACUCAGUAUAAUAUUAGUUAUAGGCUUAGUAUAUUUUGGUAUCCAUAGGUAUCGGCAGUAAUUUUUUGGUACUUAAUUCGAGUUUUAAUGUUGAUUUGAUGAAAAUUAAUUGCUAAUAUAAUUUUAUUUGAAAUUUCAUGAUUUUGCUAAUAGAAUAAAUUUAGUUUUAUUGGAUAAGAAAUGUAUAGCUUUUGCUAAAUAGAAUUGCCACAUCGGACCAAAAAGACUAGUUUUAUUGGAACCGCACUAGAUUGACCGAACGAAAACUGACUAUUAAACCAGUAUGGACAUAGAAGUUUUGAACUAGUCUUUGAGCGAACUGCUCAAAAUCGGUAAAAAACUAGAAAUCAAGACAAAAACCUAUAGUUGAACUACUUUUUAUAAUUAUUCUAAUAUUUUAUUAAUUUUUAUGAUUUUUAGUUAUUUUAGAUCGAUGGUUGAACCAAUUGUAUCGCUAACUAAUGGUCUGAUCGAUUCAAUUGUCAAGUUUGGUUAUUAAAACUUUGAAGAAAACAUAAAUACCACAUUAGAGAAAAGUGUCAAACUUAAGUACCAAAUAUAUAUUAAGCAUUAGUUAUGAACUCACGCACAAUAAAUCAUAUAUUGUCAACCCUCUUUAUAAUAGAGACACCUAUAUGUAAUGCCAACAUUUGACGCACCUAUAAAAUUAUCUAAGAUUUAGAUUUUUUUUUUAAAUUCAAAUUAAAAACUAUAAUAUAUUAAUAACAAUAUUAAUUAGUGAAAUUUAGAUUCUGCUUUUAAUAAAAUUUAGAAAUGUAAUUUUAUUUAUUAAAAUUUAUUUUUAAUGGUUAUUAUAUUUUUGUAUACAAAAUUUAAAUAUUUUAUUUAAAUAAUACAUUAAUUAAAAUCUAGAUUUUUUUUAUUUUACUUAGGAAAAUAACUAGUUUUACAAAAAAAAUUAUGAAAAAAUAUUGUUAUAAAGAAUUAUUUUAAUAAAAAUUUUAUGUAUUCUUAUUUUCUUUUCUUAUUAUUCUUCUAUUAUUUUACUACUAUUUUUAUAACAUAAUAAAAUAUAAAUAAUCGGCUCAACAACAGAUUUGAACUUUAGAAGUCCAAAAUCGCGUAUUGGCAUCAAAUCCUAAAUGCCAAAGGUAAAUCAUUCAACAUAAAUAAUUUUUAGACAAAGAAAAUUAUUAGAAUAAUUCCUUACAAGGUUUAUAUAAUGAAAUGCGAAAAGUACAUAGUCCUUACCACAUGAUUAUAUUUUACAUUUUAAUCAUGUUGUCUCAUCUAGUCAAAUUCAUCAUUUGACUUCCGAUGUAUCAUUUUUUCUUUAAACUAUCUGAUAAACCAUUAUCCUUUAGCUGUCACAUUUUGCUAAGACUAAAAAACAUUGUAUUUUUCGUUCAACCAUAAAAAAUAUACAAAAAUUUUAAAAAAUAAAACAAAAUCACAUCGUGCAUUUAGAAUUUAGUCUUAUAUUUUUAUUUUUAAUUUGUUUUUUGAAUUUAAAAAUUCAAUUGUAAUUGUUAAUAUCAUUAAAGAUUUUUAUUUAAUUCGUUAGAGUGAUAUUUUAAUUUUUUUUAAAUGCCGACAAGGUAAUCAUAUAAAAAAAAAACCAUUACAAUACACGUGACUUUAAAUUAAAAACUACAUCACCAUUUUAAUAAAAAUAAGGCAUUUAGGCUAAUCAAUGACCUUAUAAAAGUUGAGGUAGCAAUUCAUGUCAAGAAGUUGAAGUAUAGGAAUUAAAUCUUAAAUUAUAACUUGAUCAUUGUCAUAUCAUCUAUAGAAAAAAUUACAGUGUCAUGCCACUUUGCCAUGUUCACAGUCUUUGUUUUUUUUGUCAAGACGUUUAUGAAUGUAUAGUCGAUAGCCUUUCAACCACAAAUAACUUCUUUUUAUUUAUUCUUAGACACUAGUUAGCAUACAAAUGAUAUGAUACUAAAAUAAUAAGAUAAUUAUCACAUAUAAGUAUGUAAAUCAUUUGGACUAAUUAAUGCUAUUGUAAAAGUAAAGGCCCAAAUUAUGUAAAUUUAAAAAUAUAAAUAUUAAAUAUCAUAUGUGAGCAUAGUAGAGAAAUCGAAACUACAAUUUUUCCAUUAUCUUAUAAUGACUAAAAAUAGAGGGAAAAUUCAUGUCAUUAGUUAGUCCAAAUAAUUAACACUGUUAACAAUUUUAGUAGCUAACUUAUUCCAACUUAACAUAUGGAAAUACUUUUUUUGUUAAAUUAAUAUUUUGUUCAAAAAAACACUCCAAAAAUUUUAUCAGAAUAAUUAACAAUAUUAAUUAUUUAGAAAAAUAUUAUAAAAAAAUAGGACCAAAUAUUAUUGUUGAAUUAUUGUAGAAAUUCAAGUAUAAACAUUAAUUUUUAAUUUUAGCCCUAGUAGAGGGGCCAAAAGUGAUAUUAGACCAAUUUUCUGUAAAAUGCAAAAGACUGAACAUGUGUCAAGUAGAGGAAGUCAAAGUGAUAGUUGACCAAUAUUGUAUAUAAAAAAAAGGGAUAGAGACUGAACGCGUGUGAAGUAGGAAGGAUAUGUUUAGCCACUAAACAGUAAUUACAAUAAACUAUAACUGUCAAAGUAAUAAUUAUAAAAAAAUUGUAUGUUGAUUGGGAUUUUAAAAAUAAAAAUUAUCAUACCUAAAUCCCUUUAUGUGAUUUCUUUAAAACUCAACUUUUCAUAAAAAUUAGAGUCAGAGGCGAAUUUAAAAGGUUUCUCUAAAAUAAAAAAUUAUUAUUUAAAUUUUUAAAAAAAAUUAAAUUAAUAAAAAUAAAAUUAUACAUUGAUUUUUUUAAAAUUAUAAAAAUUUAAUUUAAUUAUUUAAAAAUUAUAAAUAUAUAGACUAUUAAAAAUUAAAAUUUUAUUCAACUCUUAAAAGAACUUUCUGGUAUCAGGAGAUAAUUAAAAUAUUCACCUCAAUCAAUAAACAGAAAUAAUUAACAAGAGUUAGUGUAAGUACAAAAUUCUCAAAAAAGAAGAAGAAAUUAACCUUAUGCCAUAUCCGUCUUAUCAUGAUCUUAUCAUGGUAGUAGUAAAAAAAGCAAGAGAUCUAUAUUAUAAAUAAAUAAGUAGGGAACUGUUUUGAUAGCCAUGCAUGGAGUGGAUAUAUAGUAAACUAGGCAUUUAGGCAAAGGCUAAACAAUAAUAAAAAGUAUAGGAUGAGUCAUGAGAUGAAAUUGCAGUUGAUUUAUGAAUAAUAAUAAUAAUAAUAAUAAUCAAUCAAAAAGAUUGCAUCGAAGACCAGCAAAUUCAUCUAGCAAACUUGAGUCUUGUCACACUUCAAUUCCCCAAUCAAUCGUUGAUUCUCUGUUCUAAAAAUAAAAAAAGAACCCUCUUCUAAUACACCUAGCUAGCCUCAUACAUUGUCACCAAUAUUUUCUUUUUGUAAAAAAAAAAAAAGGUGAUAAAAGAGUCCAGUUUUGACUUCCCAUCCAAUCAAAGUGAAGCAGGUAAAUAGAUACAUGUGAAAAUGAAGCAGUUCCAGUCAAACCUAAUUACCGUUUGAUCCCUCUCCUGUCCUCACUCAUCCCUUUAUCACGGCGUAAUAAAUGUCUAAUUACAGGAAUGUGUCACUCAUUCUUACCCAUUUCAUAACAUGAGAUGACAUGCAUAUUCAGAAUUUUACUACAUUUACUCUUUUAUGUUGUAUUUUCAAUAAUAUUAUCAUCCAUGUUAAUAUAGUUGCGUUUUUUUUUGUUAAUUUGCUUGAUAUAAAAAUAACCAAAUAAAUGAAAGGUGUUAGUAGGUGAGAAACGGAUUGAGGAAGCCGUACUUAGAUUGACUUUUUGCUUUGCUUCAUUUCAAUGUUUAUCCCUAUCCCAUGCAUGCCCUGUUACAAUAAUUUCAUCGUUUCUGAUUUUUUCUUUAAGAAUAUUGUAGGUAUGUGUGUACAACGGUCCACUUAUUGUCUCCAACGAUUAAGUAUGUUGCAGUUGGUAAUUCAAUUUUAUAACUGUUUGAAGAACUUCCAAUUUCGAUACAAGAUUGAUUACUUGUUGAUCGUAAUGUGUUGUUGCUUGAUCAAUGUUAACAAGCUGAUGUGUUUCUUUAUACUGAAAACAGAAAAGAUUUAUAUCUAUACUGUGUCUGAUUAAGUUAGUGUUGUUUAUUAAUCCGGUAAUUGAAUAAUUAUUGAAAACCAUUCUUUUUAUAAAUAACAAGUAUUGUUAUGAGAAUAGUUUUGUCAUAUUAAAUUGGAAUCCUGAUUAAAAGAAUUUUAAUAUUUGUAUUUAUAUAUUUUAGGUAGUAACAUGGUUGAUGGGCCUACUUCAGAAACCCAAACUUUGCCCAAUGAUGUGUGGGUUAAGGGGAGAAUGGGGUAUUAAUUAUCAUAUCUUCAUUUUGACGAGACAGCUUUAAUGGAAAUUAAAGGGACAAAUAUUGUGAAAUAACAAAGUAAAAGUAUCGUGUACGUUCAAAUUUUAAAAAUAAUAUUAUUGAAAAAAAUCAAUCACGAAUUAUAAAUAUCAACAAUAAAACAAUAAAACGAAAAAAAAAUUAUUUAAGGUGUGCUGACCUUUUUCUUAUUUAUACUCAUUCAAAAAGUCAACUUUAGUUAAAAAAAAUAUUUAUGCUUACUUUAGCUAAUCACACUAUUUUUAUUGGAUUUUCUUUUAAGUUGGUAAGUUAUGAAUGACUACAAAUUUAUCUUCGCUUUUGAAUUUAUAUUAUUCAAAAUUUUAUAAUAAUAUAAAAUUAAGAUUCAGAUGAAUCUUUUUAAUUUCAGGCACGACUAUUACAUGUAUAAUUACUUAUUCUUAAUUUAAAAUUUUUUAAAAAUGGAUUUUUGAAAUAUUACAUUUAUAAAGUUAAAAAAAUAUGUAUUAUGACGUAAAAUUUAAAAUUUGGUAUGUGAUAACAUAUCUAUAAUAUAUAAUUAAGUGAUUUUUAACCUAAAUUACUUUUGUUAUCUAAACAAACCCUAAUUUACCACUAUCCUUGUAUGCUGAAAUGUGAAAUGACUUACUCUAAUUUGUCAACAAAGUUAAUUAUCUAACGCGAAUGUUGGUUUGUCCAUUAAUUAAAAGUGGAGGUUUCAUCAUAUUUCUGGGGCAUGAGAUAUAUUGUGAUAAUGAGAAAGGUGUUUUAACCUAAUAAAAAAUCUUCAUAAAUCAACAAAUGGGAGGAUCAUUAAUUAGCUAAGUUUACGCAAACCCCCCACAAAAAAUUCAGUCAAAAUUUCCAUCAUCUUAAUUGAUGAUCAUGAGAUUUAUAAGUUGUUAAUCCAAAUCUCAUGUUUGUUUAAAGUGAAUUUAGAGAGAUGUUAUACCUUGAAAGUGUGCGGCCUUUAAAGUUGAAUUAUGGGGCAUCCUUAAUGGUUUAAUGCUUAUUAUAGUUUGAGGAUUCAAUCUGAUAGUGUGAAGGUGAUCAAAAUUAUAUUCAGGAUUCUUCUCUGACGAGUUCCAACUCUGUCUUCAUUAGACAUAUUCAUCACCUCUUGAUAAACGCAAGAUAUUGGGACAUUUCAACAUACUCCUAGACCAAAAUGGAUUUAAAAACAAAUCAAAGAUUAAAGACGUUUGAGGAGGUUUCAAGGGAAGUACAAGCACUUUUUUUCUAUUGCCUAUCCAAGUGGCAAUCUCACACAUAAAAACAUUAUGUAAUUAGUUUUAUUUAAUUAUUUUAUCUACAAAAAAAUGUUUUGACUUUAAAAAAAAAUAAAAAAAUAAAUCCUUAAAUCAUCAUGGAUUCUUGAAUAUUAAUUUGGCUUGUUUUAGUUUUUGUCUCUUUUGCUGGGUAGCUAAAUCAAUUAAUAUGAUAAUAAAAAGGUAAUAAUGCCCAUUAUUAUAUGUAGAAAAUAGUGAUUCGCGUGCUGAUAUAUAAAAUAUAAAACUAUUAGUUAUGUACUUCAACUUGUAAAAGUAUUCACAAUGGUUAUAGUUGACAAUUUUUUUUAGUAUUAGAGAAAUAUUAAAACCGAAAGCAAAAUGUAACCAUCUUCUAAAUUUGUCAUUAGCAUCAAAUCAUGAUGAUAUUUAGUGGGGUAGGAAAGAUGUAAAAUUAAAGUAAAGUGAACUACUGUGAAAGUUAACCCACGAAAAUAAGUCAUAUAUAUAUAUCAGGGUAACUAAGAAAAUCAAUCAUUCCAAAUCAUUAAUUUAUCUCUUUUAAUUUAAUGCAAAAAAUGUGCUGUCUAGCAUUAUUAAGAACAGUAAUGGUUGAUUUAUACUCACCAAACAAAUUAAGAACUAAUCAGAUGCCUUCUUCUUGUAAUUUAUUAUUUUACCACCAUAUAUGUAGUCUCAUUGCUCAAUCAUUUUUUUAACUUACAUUUCUUAAAAAUAUAUGCUUUUUUAACUUACAUUUUAUAGCUUCAUGUGAUUUAGCUUAUAGUAAUGAAAGUCCAUGAAUUAAAGCCUAUUGUACUAUUAAUUAACAUACUUUUUCAUUAAUUCGUCCUCUAAAAAUUUCAUUAUUUUAAGGGUCAGUAUGUGAUGCACUAGUAGUAGUGUAUAAUUUUAUGCAUUAUCUAUUGAUGAAUCAAAUGAUAACACAUCAUCAAAACGGAAGUUGAGUAACUUUCGCCAGUCCCCUUAAAAUGAAAAAAAUUCUUGAACCCAUUAAAAAUUUUAAAUUAAUAAAGGUAAAAUUGCACUUUGGCCUCCAUUAAAAAUGAUAAAAUUUGAUUUAAUCAUUUAAAAAUUAUAAAAAUAUAGACUAUUAAAAUGAAGAAAUUAUAUUUUUACUAUUGUUAAAAUUAUAAUUUAAUUUCGGCUCCUUAAAAUAUCUGAGUUCACCCCUGAAUAAAUCAUAAUAAAAAAUUAUAUUGUGUAAUAAUCUACAUUAAACAUAGAUCUUAAUUUUAAUAUUAUGAGAAUAAAAGUAUUGAGAUGAUCAUAAUUAAAUUAGGUCAUAAAUUUGUCAAAGUGGACCUUUAAUUUGCCUACAUGGAAGUUGUUUAAUGGGAUUGUUCUCACUCUCUUAUGAUUGCAAAUCUCUCGUUAUAUAUAUAAUAAAAGUUCAAAUGUGAGCUUUUUAAGCCCUUUUUUAAACCAAAAACACAAAAGAAACAGUUUUGGGUUCCAUCAAAAUAUCAUUGGCUACAUUUGAUGUAUCUAUUUUGAUAAAGACGUGUUGCUGAAGAGAUUUUUUUUUAAAAAAAAGAAGCUAAGAAAAUAAAACAAUAGCAAAGCAAAAUUCCAUGGAUUUAAUUUUGGGGAGAAGAAUCUCAACUUUGUGAGAAUCAUUACUUCCGCUCCCUUGUCAGGGCAACUUAAUCAUAUAUCACAGAAUCUUUGUAGGUCAUGUCUUUAUAUAUAUACACGUAUGUAUGUCUAUGUAUUAUAUUAAACUUUCCCAGUUUUUUUUUACCCAAAGAGGCUGAGAAUAUGUUUAUGUCUUUAAAUCACUAACAAUGCUUGAUUAGACAGUCGUGGGGACUUGUCUUUUUUUCUUCCCUAAGAUUUAAAGUGCAUUUGUCCAAUAAUCAAGUUGUUGUUCCUAAAGAAUAUAUAUAAUAAAACUUUUUUUUGGGGGUAUAAUUUAACUUUUGUCAAGUGGUUAUAUCACUUCUUUUCAUUUUUUUUGAAAAAAAAAUUUAGACUUUAUUUAUUAUGUAUCAGUGUUUGAUGUUCCUUUCUGUGAAAUGAAAAUUAUGUUGAAUAUAUAUAUUAUUAUAUUAAAUGAAAAUAUAACGAUAGAAGCAAUAAUCAUAGGGAAAGUUUAGAAAUGGAGAAAAAUAGGGUAUAUAUUAUUUAUAUGAAGGGAUGAGAAAUUUGGAAAACACCAAACAUCUCAUCAUUAAUCUCAUCCACACACAGAAUUUAGAAUUAUCCUUUUAAAAAUUUCCUGUUAUCCUUUCUAAAUUUGGGAGAUUCCCUUCUCCUUUUCAAAAACCAUUUAAUAUGUAUUAUGAUUGCAAUAUGAUUAUAUAUAGUUCAUGAACCUGGUUCUUUGGGAAUUGUUUCAAUAAUUUUAUUAGGGAAAAAAACUGAAAAUAUAACUAAUAAACAACUUGGAAUAUCAUAAUUGAAAUUGCCUUCAAAGAAUAAUACAUUUUUAUGUGUUUCCGUAUCUGGUUGCCUGUAUGUCAAGAAGCUUGCCCACAGUGUCCAACUCUAAAUACUAAGAUUGUUUAAGUAUAUGAGUUUUGCGCAUAAUUUAGAAUGAAUAUCUGACUCAUAUAACUUUUAUGUGUAAAAAAAUUAUUAGGUUUUAAGUUUAAUUAGUGGGGAUUAAUUAUGAGAGCUGAGCGUGUAGAUUGGAAUUUUGGAUCAGAAUUAUGUGAAUAAGACAAAAUAAUAAUAAUAAAAAAUAGGGAAGAACUGGUUUAGGGUUCUAAGUAUUUCUAUAUAUAGAUAUAUAAAUACGAUAUAAUGGGGAACUGAGUUUCGAGGGAAGAAAGUGUGGUUGAGCAUAAAUGCCCAAGAAUGUUUUAUAAUUAGAAAUGCCAGGAGAAACAAACAAAACCUAUUGGUUACUUGUGUAUAUAUGUGUAUAUGUAUAUAUAGAAACAUGAUUCAUGAGGUUGCUUUAAUCAUUUUCUUCCCCAAUAAUCUGAGUUUUACUGCUCUCUAAUGAUUAUUACUAUCCAAUAAAGAAAAAUGACAUCUUAAACCGCCCCACCAGUGUUGGUUUGCCAAAAAAACAAUCCAACAACAAUAUUGGUUUUCUGAUCACCAAAUAGCAGUGCUGAAAUUUUUUUUUAACGAGUGGAUGACACAAAUCCCCACCAAAGCAAAUGGUUAUGAAACAAACGGGGUCUUAAUGAAGUGGGGGCAAGGGGUGUUUUCAGAUAGGCGAGAUAGAUCACAAAUAUUAUAUUGAUACAAAGAAAUAGAUAUGGUUCGUGGAAAACCAUUAGUGGAAUGAAGGAGUUAAGUUCGCAUGGUGUUCAUAGAGUGACUUUGGAGUUUUGAGAAAAUUUUAGAAAAAUAAUAAUAAGUGGAGUGUGCAUGCCUUUCUAGAUUAUUAGAAGAUAUGUACGUAAUUAUGCACAUCUUAUGGAAUAAGUGUCUUAUAUGUGUAAUAUGUUUGUUAAGUUACAAUGAAUCUUUUUAUGCGUGAUUUAUCAAGUUAUAUAAAGUUUUCUUUUUAUAAAGAGUUAAUGUGAUUGGACAAAGUCUACAUAUUGAUCAUAUGGGAGACAAAUAUCAAUAAGCAAAAUGUUUAUAAAAAGUAAAUUUUUUAAUCAAAAUAAAUUGACUUAACAAAAAUUUUCAAGGUAAAAUAGUUACGAAUAUUUAUUUAUGUUGGAAUGUACAUAAAAGUACCGUUAGCCCACCAUAAGAGAGAUGAUUGGAUGUGGGUUCAUAAAUGUUAAGAAUUACGGCAAAGUCAAUUGCCAAAACUUUCCUUCCCUAGAUGGCCAACCAAAACCAAGGUAACUAACCAUGGCCUACAAACCAGAUGUUCAUAUAGGUUUGGGGGUUGAAUUCUGGUAUGUUGUUCGCAUAAGCAUAUAGAUUAGAUGCAGGACUAGGUAUGUAUAGGAAGUAGAAGCCAUAACCUAUAAGGCUAAAACUUGCCACAUGCCCACAUGACAUCUUACUCUCAGAAAAGAAAAAACUUGACAUGUUCAACUAGUCUAUACAUAUUUGGUCAAAAAACCUACCCUAAGGAGGCUAGAACUAUCAGAUUUUGAAGUUGUUAUAAAAUUCGCCAUAAACUUUUGGACAUUCAACUCAAAUUGUAUACAAACACCUGUGUUUGUAAGAAAAAAUUAUCUCAUUUAUCGACUGUAAUUAUUAAAUUUUACAAGUAAAAUUAACAAAGUGGUACAUAGAUAUUAGUCCAAUGAUACAUCCGCUAUAUAGAUGAAAAGUAUAAAUUUUUAUAUAAAAAUUAUAUAUUUUUCUUUUAAAUGAAUGCUAAUUUUAAAAAAAAAAAAUUUAAUGGCUGAUUGAUUUUAUUUUAUUUUAAAAAAGUUAAGUGAGUAGUUUAUGGGGGAGUGAGUAGUUUUUUUUUAGAUCCGAAUUUUUUUAAAGGUUGGAAUUAAUGAAUGUAAAAGUAAAAAAAAAAAAAAGAAGGUAAAAGUUGAUUAAUUACUGUUUUGUUUUCCAUUUUCUUGAUUUAUAUUAACUUUUAAAGAGAUAUUAGUAAUGUCAGUUAAGACCAUAAAUUUAAUCAGAAUUUAAUAUUAAUAUAAAUAGUAAAAAACUUUCUGGCAGAAAAAGAAAAAAAAAUGAUAACCUCUUAAAUCUUAAUCCACUAAUGAAGUAAAAAAUUCCAGUAUUUACUAUCUACUUUCCCUUUUCUGGGCUAGUAUUUGAAACUAGAAACUAGAAACUUCUUUGGGUUAUCUUCAUAUUAGAUUGAAGCCCAAUUUUAAGUUUAUGUAGUUCAGGUUUAGACGUAGAACCCUGUCGGUCCAAAUCUAUUUUCCAAAGCCGAAACCUGAAAAUUAAAUAUGAAGUUGCUUCUAGGGACUAGAAUUAAAUAUAUUGACUAAAAAUGGCUUCUAGAUUCUAACCUCUACCUUCCAGCUCCGAUAAACAAGGGCGGUGCACGUGGUUGGGAAAGAUUUAUUAGAGCAUGUUAUAAUAAUAUUUUCGAAUUUCUAAGCAAACAAUUCUUCAAGGCAAAUCAUAACUGUGGCCUAUUAAAUUUAGCUUCCAAACUUUGAGACGAUUAUUGUUACUUGAUAAUAUUAUGUUUAAAGGCAUUUUUACCUUGCAUGAUAUAGAAAUAUAUAAUUAGUAGUAUAUAAUAAACACCACAAUGACAAAAGACGUACAAACAAGACUGAUAUAAUUAACACCAAAAGUUUAAUAUCUAGAUUUUGACCAUAUUUACGUUAACAAAGUAAAGAAAAAAAUCUGAGAUAAAACACACAUUUAACCAGAUCUAUUUUCACAUGAAAUCUUCCUUUAAAUGUACUAAAAGUCACGAAAUUCAAAUAUGGUGGUUCCUAUAUCAUCUAAUAAUAUCUCCCAACAAUUUAUCAUAAAUGGGUGGCACUGAUGGGCAGUUAAUGAGCUACCGUCCUAGUUCCAGUCUAAAAGACAAUGGCGUAUAUGUAGGCAGAGGAGAAAACGGAAAAAACUCUAAACAAUCAUUGCUCACCUCAGCGCCUCCCAACAGUCUACAUUGUAGCCAUAGUAUUGACACUACUAAUUGAAAGGCUAAAACCAAAGUUGAAUACGAAAUUAUCUGAAAGGAACGCAUACUAAACCCGCAUAAAUUGGGUAGUUGUUAGUUUAGUAAAUCUCAUAAAAAGUCCAAAAAGAAAUUAAAACAGAUUAUUGUCACAAAAAUUAAAGGCCAUAACCAAGUGACGAAGGGCCCAGUCAGUUAUGUUUGGCAAAUGAAUUUGAAUACACGCACCACCACCCUCAAAGCUCAUCCACCUAAGCCCAUGUCAUAAACUGCAUUUAAGUGAACCAGUGGCAGUUGGAGCCAUUAUGUUGGUUGAAAAAUAUUGUUGACAGUGUUAUUCAGCAGUACUUGUCCUGAGGCUCCAACUACAUUUCUCAUUAUAAAUGUGGAGAAUUCUUGCUCUACUUUCCAUUCCAUGCAACACUAGCUUUUAGAUUCCCUUUCCAUUGCACUGCUCUUUCUUUCUUUAGAAUUAGUCACUCCUGUUCUAGAUGAAGGUUCUCUCCCCAAUUCUUGCUUGCCUAGCGGUAAGUUUUUCGAUUUCAUGUGAUUAUUCGUUGUUGAAUGCAAAGAACUAUGAGGGUUUUUUUUACCUCAACUUUUCUUGUUUGCUAUUUGUUGUUGCAGCUUGCUGUGGUGGCAAGUCAUGCUGCUCUCUCACCCGAGCAAUAUUGGAGCUAUAAGCUGCCAAAUACUCCAAUGCCAAAGGCUGUCAAAGAAAUUCUACAUCCAGGUGAGUGUUUAAUAUCCCAAGAAUUCCUUUUUUUUUUAAUCGUGUUUGCUCACCGACAAAACAGGACUACUGUGAUAUAAGCUCUUAACUUGAGAUGGUCAGGAAAGUGAGGACUGUAGAAUACCGGACCCUGGUUUCCCAUAGAAUUGAAUUGAGCCUAAUACAACAAACAAUCAUGUAAUCAUGGAACCAGGGAAAUAAUCAGAUAUGAGGUGCUUAACAUAGUUCUGUUCCUGCAUUUUAUUGAAAGAGAAAGAGCAGGAUACGUUCUGUUUAGCAAGAUAUUUCAGAAAACAUAGGAAUAGGAUGUGUUCUGCACAUAUUGACUUACUAUGAAAAAAAUUGUUGGAAUCAUGCAUUCAUCAGCAUGUAUCUGAGCUCUCUAGCCCAUUUCGGUGUAUUUGCAGAACUGAUGGAGGAGAAACGUACCUCUGUAAAUGUAGGAGGUGGUGGUGUAAACGUCAAUACAGGAAAAGGGAAGCCAGGGGGUGGCACUCAUGUGAACGUUGGGCGCAAAGGAGUUGGAGUGAACACAGGAAAGCCAGGGGGUGGCACUCAUGUGAACGUUGGGCGCAAAGGAGUUGGAGUGAACACGGGAAAGCCAGGGGGUGGCACUCAUGUGAAUGUUGGAGGCAAAGGAGUUGGGGUGAACACUGGAAAGCCAGGAGGUGGCACCCAUGUGAACGUUGGAGGCAAAGGUGGAGGAGUAUCUGUACACACCGGACACAAGGGAAAGCCAGUAAAUGUUAAUGUGAGUCCGUUUGUUUACAACUAUGCAGCCAGUGAAACUCAAAUCCAUGAAGACCCGAAUGUGGCUCUUUUCUUUCUGGAAAAGGAUAUGCACCCCGGGGCAACAAUGAGCCUGCAUUUCACUGAAAAUACAGAGAAAUCAGCUUUCUUACCUUAUCAAACUGCCCAAAAAAUACCGUUUUCAUCUGACAAGUUGCCAGAAAUUUUCAACAAGUUUUCAGUGAAACCUGGAUCACUGAAGGCAGAGAUGAUGAAGAACACAAUUAAGGAGUGCGAACAGCCAGCGAUUGAAGGAGAGGAAAAAUAUUGUGCAACCUCACUGGAGUCAAUGAUUGACUAUAGCAUUUCCAAACUAGGGAAAGUUGAUCAGGCAGUCUCAACAGAAGUGGAAAAACAAACCCCAACGCAGCAGUAUACAAUAACAGCUGGAGUGCAGAAGAUGACAAAUGGCAAAGCUGUAGUGUGCCACAAGCAGAAUUAUGCAUAUGCUGUCUUCUAUUGUCAUAAAUCAGAAACAACAAGGGCUUACAUGGUUCCUUUAGAGGGUGCUGACGGAACAAAAGCCAAAGCAGUAGCAGUCUGCCACACAGAUACAUCAGCAUGGAACCCUAAGCAUUUGGCUUUUCAAGUCCUAAAAGUUGAGCCAGGAACCAUUCCUGUCUGCCAUUUCCUUCCUCGGGAUCACAUUGUUUGGGUCCCUAAGUAAAAGUCCUGAAGAGUAGAUUCAUACACUAUAGUUUCUUCACAGUGUGCAUUAAAACAGCUUAAAGCAAUAUCCAGUUUGUUCUAUAAUAAUAUACCCACAAGUUUAGUCAUGUAAAAUCUAUCCAUGAAUCAUGUUCUUAGUAAUGGAUAAAAUGAUAUUACUUUCUGUAUCACAAGGGUUUGGUGAUAAAUGUAUUAGUAUUUUAAGUAACUUUUCAGACAUCGUAUUCCAAGUAACUUUGCGGACAUUAUGUUUCUCCAUUAGAUUACUAAUUCUCUUUCAUCACAGAUUAGCCAUCUCCACAGGAAAAUUCUCUGAAGGUAAACUAUCAUGUUCAUCACUCGAUUGCAAUCCGAGAAGAAAUUGUUUUUCCUAUGUCCCAAUAGCAGAAAAAUUUUGGACCAAUUUACAUGAUACAUAUGAGAAUUUUCUAAACAGAGUGUCAUGUCAUGUAUCUCGAAGGAUGCUAACUUAAUAUAGUAAGACCAGCAUUAAAAUCUUUUCAGAUAUGAGUAGGUUCCAAAGUACUCAAAUUUGAGCACCUGUACGGAACAAACCAUUGUGUGCACUGUGCAGCUCUUCGUGUCUGAUUCCUCCACCACUGUGAUGAGCAGCUGCAGCAUCCUCAGUGGCUAACCUCAGGCCCUUGAAAGACUUAUUCAACAGAUUAUGGUGAUAAGUCAAAUAAUUAUAAAUGAUGUCGGCUCCACGGAUCCUUUUAUUCCUGCAAUGCGGAUAAAUGCCCAAGAAUGUUUUAUAAUUAGAAAUGCCUGGAGAAACAAACAAAACCUAUUGGUUAGUUGUGUAAUAUAAUUAUAUACGUGUAUAUGUAUAUAUAGAAACAUGAUUCAUGAGGUUGCUUUAAUCAUUUUCUUCCCCAAUAAUCUGAGUUUUACUGCUCUCUAAUGAUUAUUACUAUCCAAUAAAGAAAAAUGACUUCUUAAACCAAUGUUGGUUUGCCAAAAAAAUAAUCCAACAACAAUAUUUGUUUUCUGAUCACCAAAUUGCAGUGCUGAAAUUUUUUUUAAACGAGUGGAUGACACAAAUCUCCACCAAAGCAAAUGGUUAUGAAACAAAUGGGGUCUUAAUGAAGUGGGGGCAAGGGGUGUUGUUCCAAUAGGGUCGGAAGCGUGUAAAUUAUUGUACUAAAAAAUCACACAAAGUUCAAUUCUCAGGGAAGAGAGGUGGAUCACAUGGAUCUCUUAAAUACCAAGUCUUUCCUUAGACAGAAUAUCCCUUCUAUAGUAAUUUAAUAGCACAAUUAAAUACUACUAUUAUACCCUCAAAUAUUGAAAGAAAAAUAGGACAAGAAAGAACACAAGAGUUUUAACGAGGUUCGGUAAAUUAUACCUACGUCCUCGGGCACUAACACCAGAUGAUAACUUUACUAACUUCAAAGUAUUACAAACAAAUAGAAUUCCUUAAGAAUUCUCAAAUGGGAGAAAAAGAAAACUAAGAGAGAAAGAUUGGUUGGGAUGAAUUGAAAUGAGAAAUGAGAAGGCCUAUUUAUAGUUGAGGUUCAAGGACCAAACAAUAAAUAGCCCAUUAUCUCAAGGACCAAAAAAAAAUUAUCCUUGCCACUUUUCCAAAGUUGGUGGUUGUCAUUAUUGAUUGUCUCCCAUUAAUGUUAAUGGCAACCAUUAUUAAUUGUCUUCCAUUAAUGUUAACAAUCUCCACCUUGAAGAUUUGAUUAGGAUAAUCACAUCUUCACACACUUCCUUCAACUCCCCAAAUUCGAUAAAGCUAUCUUUUGUAGUGCCUACAAAUGCGCUCUCGAGCGCCAUACACCUGAAGGUGCUCAAAUUCUCAGUAUGUUAAUCAAGUUCAAACAAUGAUUAAACUUGAUUGUUGUUACCACCUUGGUCAUCAUAUCUGCGGGAUUAUCUGCUGUCGGAAUCUUCUGAAGUAGAAUUUUUCCUUUUUCAAAGACUUCCCGCACAAAGUGAUAUCUUACGUCGAUAUGCUUGGUUCUUGAAUGAUAGACUUGAUUUUUCGCUAAAUGAAUAGCGCUCUGACUGUCACAAUAUAAACUUAUGUGACUUUGAACAACUCCUAAGUCUUUCAACAAUCCAUUAAGCCAAAUAGCCUCCUUAACAGCUUCUGUAACUGCCAUAUAUUCUGCCUUUGUAGUAGACACAGCUACUGUAGACUGUAAGGUAGACUUCCAACUCACUAGGGCUUUCGCAAGAGUAAACAGAUACCCCGUAGUUGAACGACGUUUAUCUAAAUCACCAGCAAAGUCGGAAUCAACAUAUCCAACUACAAACUGACCAAGUGCUUCAUCCUGUUCAAAAAUUAAACCAACAUCUACGAUUUUUCGAAGAUACCGUAGAAUCCAUUUCACAGCUUGCCAAUGUCCUUUUUCAGGAUCAUGCAUAUACCUGCUCACAACUCCAACAGCUUGUGAAAUGUCAGGCCUCGUACACACCAUCGCAUACAUCAAACUCCCAACUGCAUUAGCAUAUGGGACUUUCGCCAUAUAUUCUCUUUCAUCUUUAGUCUUCGGAGAUAAUUGAGCACUAAGUUUCAAAUGAGAAGCAAGUGGGGUACUUACAUGUUUUGUGUUUUCAUUUACACCAAAACAUUGUAAUACCUUUUUCAGAUAUUGCUUCUGAUUUAAACAGAGCUUGCCUCUCGGUCUAUCUCUACUUAUCUCCAUGCCGAGAAUCUUCUUGGCCUCACCUAGAUCUUUCAUCUCGAACUCUUGAUUCAACUGAGCCUUCAGCUUAUCUAUCUCAUUUUGGCUCUUCGAAGCGAUUAACAUAUCAUCAACAUACAAGAGUAGAUAAAUGAAAGAUCCGUCAUGCAGCUUCUGCAAAUAUACACAAUUGUCAUAUUUGCUUCUUGUGUACUUUUGCCUUCUCAUAAAGCUAUCAAAUCGCUUGUACCACUGCCUCGGGGAUUGCUUCAAUCCAUAUAGCGAUUUGUUAAGCUUACAAACCCAAUUUCUACCACCAGCAUCUGUGUAUCCUUCUGUCUGAGUCAUAUAGAUCUCCUCUUCUAACUCACCAUGCAAGAAAGCCGUCUUAACAUUGAGCUAGCUCCAAAUUCAACUGUGCUACCAAGGCCAACAAAAUUCUAAUGGAGGAAUGCUUCACAACAGGGGAAAAUACAUCAUUGUAGUCAAUUCCCUCCUUCUGAGCGUAGCCUUUAGCUACCAAUCUUGCCUUGUAGCGAAUAUCCUUCUUGCUAGGAGAUCCAUCUUUCUUUGCGAAUACCCACUUGCAUCCGAUUGCCCUUUUACCUUUCGGUAAUUGCGCCAACUCCCAAGUAUUGUUCUUCCGGAGAGACUGCAUUUCUUCAUCCAUGGCGCUUUUCCAUUUAUCACUUUCUAAGCUUUGCAUUGCUUCUUGAUAAGUGAUAGGAAUAUCAUCAACAACGAGAAGGGCGUAGGCCACCAUAUCAGUAAAUCGAGUAGGUUUACGAAUUUCUCUCCGUGGCCUUGCAACUGCAACUGGUUCUGGUGUACUUAGUGGUUCUUGGGUCAGAACCUCUUCAACCUCUAAUUCCUCCAUUGUGGCUGGAGAAUUAGACUUAUUGACUGGGCAAAUCCCCAUCUGCUCAAACUCCACCUGUUUUGGAGUACACUCCACCUGCUGUGGAGUAUUGCUCGUCUGAAUAUCUUUAUCUGCUACCUUUUUCAAUGUGGCAGAUUCAUCAAAGGUAACAUCUCUGCUACAAAUCAUUUUCUUUGUGCUUAAGCACCAAAGACGAAAUCCCUUCACUCCAGAAGUGAUUCCUAUAAAGAGAGCUUUCUUUGCCCUCGGAUCUAAUUUUGACUCCUUUACAUGGUAAUAUGUAGUGGUUCCAAACACAUGUAAGGAAUCAUAAUCUGUAGCCGGUUUUCCAGACCAUACCUCCAUAGGAGUUUUUCUUUCUAAUGCAGAUGAUGGCAAACGAUUAACAAGAUGGCCAGCGUAUGUCACAGCCUCAGCCCAAAAUUGCUUGCCCAACCCAGCAUUGGACAACAUACAUCGAACUUUCUCCAGCAAUGUUCGAUUCAUACACUCUGCCAAUCCAUUCUACUGUGGUGUAUCCCUAACUGUGAAGUGUCGAACAAUACCAUACUCUUGGCACACAUCGAAGAACGGAUCACUUUUAUAUUCCCCUCCAUUGUCCAUCCUAAGCCGCUUGAUUUUCUUGCCAGUCUGGUUUUCGAUCAUAGUUUUCCAUUUAAGAAAAACUCUAAGCACUUCAUCCUUAGUUCUCAUGGUAUACACCCAAACUCUUCUGGAAAAGUCAUCAACAAAAGUAACAAAGUAGUGUUUUCCUCCCAAUGAACGUGUCUUGGAAGGCGCCCACACAUCUGAGUGAACAUAUUCCAAAAUACCUUUUGUAUUAUGGAUAACAGUACCGAAUUUCACUCUCUUUUGCUUUCCCAGAACACAAUGCUCGCAAAAUUUUAAUUUGCAAGCCUUUGCACCUUUCAACAAUCCUUGCUUUGCCAGAAUUUGCAAGGAUUUUUCGCUGGCAUGUCCCAACUUCAUAUGCCACAACUGUAUUGAGUCCAAUUCUUUGUUGCCGGAAGCUGCAGCGACUGCUCCAAUAACUGUACUACCUUGGUAGUAAUACAAGUUAUUUUUCCUGAUGCCCUUCAAUAUCACAAGUGCGCCAGAUGUCACUUUCAAAACCCCAUCUCUCAUAGUAACAACUGAACCAUUGGAUUCCAAGGCUCCCAAUGAGAUGAGAUUUUUCUUCAAACUGGGCACGUACCGAACAUCAGUCAGAACUCUGGUUGAUCCAUCUUUAUUCUUUAAUUGGAUUGAACCUAUCCCAACAGUUUUACAGGCAUUGUCAUUGCCCAUAUAAACAACUCCUCCAUUUAGUUCUACUAAAUCAGAGAACCACUCCCGGUUAGGGGACAUAUGAUAGGUACAACCCGAAUCCAAUAUCCACUCAUCUGAAUGGAACGACGAUGAUGAUGCAACCAGUGAUAGUUCAGAGUCACUAGUAUCAUGCUUAGCAACACAAGCAUCUAUAGCAGCUUUUCCCUUAUUCUUCAGCUUUGGACAAUUUUUAUUCCAGUGGCCUUUCUCAUGAUAAAAAGCACAUUCAUCUUUCCCAAGUCUGGACUUUGACUUUGAUCUCCCCUUUUGAGUUUUCUUCCGAGUGUAUGAACGACCUCGGACUACUAAAGCUUCUGUAUCUCUGAUUGAGUUUUUCUGUUUGUCCUUCUUUCUCUGUUCAUAACUGUAUAAGGCCGCACAGACUUCGCUCAGAGAUAUAUCACUCCUGCCAUGAAGUUGAGUAGUUUCUAGGAACUCAAACUCCUCAGGAAGUGACCCCAACAGCAUCAAAGCCAAAUCUUCAUCUUUGAAUGUCUCAUCCAUAUUCAACAAAUCAGUGACUAACUGAUUAAAUUUGGUGAUGUGAUCAUUCAUUGUGGUACUUGGGACGUAUGUGAAGCGAAAUAGUCUUUUCUUCAAGUGGAGCUUAUUUUGACUGUUUUUCUUCAAAAAAAAUUUUUCAAGUGCCACCCACAACUUAUUUGCAGAAGUCUCCUUUGAAAAAGCAUACCUCUGCUCUCGAGAAAGGCAUGAUCGAAUUGUGCCACAUGCCAACCGAUUGAUUGCCUUCCAAUCUUUCUCCUAUACAUCAUCUGGUUUCUCUUCAUCAAUGGCAAUGUCUAGACCCUGCUGAAAAAGGGCAUCUAGAACAUCACUUUGCCACAUACCAAAAUGGCCCGUACCAUCAAAGAUCUCCACGGCCAAUCUUGCAUUUGCAAUUGUCGGUCUUGUCCACAUGGACGAUGUUGAAGCUCCUACACUGACCGUUUUCUCCAUAAUCUUUCAAUAUACCUAAGGAAAUCUUUUCUGAUGUGGAAGAUCAGUUUAAACUGCAACCACAGAGCAUACUACGAUUAACCUUCGGCUCUUGAUACCACUUGUUGUUCCAAUAGGGUCGGAAGCGUGUAAAUUAUUGUACUAAAAAAUCACACAAAGUUCAAUUCCCAGGGAAGAGAGGUGGAUCACAUGGAUCUCUUAAAUACCAAGUCUUUCCUUAGACAGAAUAUCCCUUCUAUAGUAAUUUAAUAGCACAAUUAAAUACUACUAUUAUACCCUCAAAUAUUGAAAGAAAAAUAGGACAAGAAAGAACACAAGAGUUUUAACGAGGUUCGGUAAAUUAUACCUACGUCCUCGGGCACUAACACCAGAUGAUAACUUUACUAACUUCAAAGUAUUACAAACAAAUAGAAUUCCUUAAGAAUUCUCAAAUGGGAGAAAAAGAAAACUAAGAGAGAAAGAUUGGUUGGGAUGAAUUGAAAUGAGAAAUGAGAAGGCCUAUUUAUAGUUGAGGUUCAAGGACCAAACAAUAAAUAGCCCAUUAUCUCAAGGACCAAAAAAAAAUUAUCCUUGCCACUUUUCCAAAGUUGGUGGUUGUCAUUAUUGAUUGUCUCCCAUUAAUGUUAAUGGCAACCAUUAUUAAUUGUCUUCCAUUAAUGUUAACAAGGGGUGUCUUCAGAUGCAUAUGAAUUUGGUUUACAGGCGAGAUAGAUCACAAAUAUUAUAUUGAUAAAAAAAAUUGAUAUCGUUCGUGGAAAAUCAUUAGUGGAAUGAAGGAGUUAAAGUUCACAUGUUAUUCAUAGAAUGAAUUGAAAGAGUUGAGAGUUUUGAGAGAGAAUUUCAGAAAAAUAAUAAGUGGGAUGUGCAUGUUUUUCUAGAUUAUUUGAAGGCAUGUACGUAAUUAUGCACAACUUAUGGAAUAUAAGUGUUUUAUAUGUAUAAUAUAUUUAUUAAGUUACGAUGAAUCCUUUCACACGUUACUUUUAAAGUUAUGUAAAGUCUUAUUUUUAUAAGUAGUUUUAAGUUAAUAUUAAUGUGAUUGGACGAGACCCACAUAUUGAACAUAUAAAAAAAGUAUCGAUAAUCAUGUAAAAUAAAAUGUAAUCUUCAAAGUAAGUGAAUUUUUUUAAUCAAAAUGGAUUGACUUGACGAAAUUUUUUAAAACGAAAUAAAUAAAUAUCAUCUUACAUAUAUUUAUAUAUGUGUGCAAUAUACAUAAAUGUACCCUUAGCCCACCAAAACUUUCUUUCGCAAAUUUUAGACGGCGAACCAAAACCAAGGUACCUAACCACGUCCUACAAACCAGAUGUUCGUAUAGGUUAGAUGCAGGAUUAAGAAGCCACAACCUAUAAGGCUAAAACUUGCCACAUGCCCAUAUGACAUCUUACUUUCAAAAAAAAGAAAAAACAUGACAUUCAACUCAAAUCCUAUACAAAUACCUUUAUUUGUAAGAAGAAAUUUUCUCAUUUAUUGACUAUAAUUAUUAGAUUUUACAAGUAAAAUUUACAAAGUGGCACAGAUAUUUAGUCCAAUGAUAAAUCCGCUUUAUAGAUGAAAAGUAUAAAAAAUUAUAUAUUUUUCUUUUAAAUGAAAGCUAAAUUAAAAAAAAAACAAUUAUAUGGCUGAUUGUUUUUAUUGUAUUUUAAAAAAAGUUAAGUGAGUAGGUUUUUUACCCUGUGAUUCCCAAAAAAAAUGUUGUCAUCGAGGAUUGUUACCUAUACACAGAUAAAUUCAAGGAAAACUAUUUCAUGCAAGCUAAUCAUAUUUAAAAGCAAGCAAAGGGUCGUAAACAUUGUAGAUUGGAGCAUUUCAUGAAACAUAGUUACAAGCUAGAGUAUCAUCCCAUGACCCAUAGCAGUCUUCUAUAUUAUUGGGUUUUUGCAAACUUGGGCUUGAAUACACAAAUAGAAUAUAAUCACAGAAAACUUUGUUUUUUGUGUAUUGAAUUUGGGUUUAUGCUUCAUUUUAUUAUCGACAAUGAUAUCAGAACCUAUUUUAAAUCCAACAUCAUGACGAUUUGAUUUUUAUUUGUUUAAUAAUAUUUUGUCCCCUAACUAAUUGGCAAUUGAAAACUUCUACCCUUUGUAUGCAUGAUUAGUUUAGAAAUUUUGUGCAUAAUUAUCAAGCAACGUCGUGAUUACAAUUCUUGAACUCGAUUCCAUGAUAAGGAGUUCAAAUUUUAAAGUCGACCAAAGCAAGUUAGUAUCUUUCACUCUUUUAACAUAUAUUUCCAACUUCAUAUAUAAACAUUUAUUUAUACUCAUGGUUUAGAAACAGGGCUGAAAAAACUCUCUUGAAAGCAGAUACCAUUGGCGGCAGCCAUGGGUUUAUGUGAAGAAGAAAAGAUGCCUCUAUCUCUAUGAGUAGAAUUAUUGCAGUGGGUCACACCUUCGCUUUCAUUUACUUCAACUUCUCAGGUAAUAUUCCAACAUUACAGCGUUGAAUUGUUUGCAAAUUUAUUUACCUCAUAUUCCCACUUUCUUUGAUCUCUCCUUGUCCCAACCACGUUGGAUUUUGAACCAUUUGGUCUUAUAUUACAUAACAUACAAAUGAAAAGAAAAGAAAAACAUUUGCGAUUCCGACCAUAAAUAAAUAAUGUUCUGUUCUGUAACGAGAAACAGCCAAAGCUUCCAGCACUUACAAUAAUAAUAAAAGUAAUGAGGGUAAAGGCUUCAAAGUUUUUUUUUUUUUUGUUUUUUUUUAAAUAAAGGAUAAGGAGUAAGGAUUAUCUUAUGAUCCAACUUAGCAUUAGUGUUUAAUUGAAAAUUUAAAUACAAUAACUUCAAGAUAGAGUACAGUGUCCGUGUGGUGUUUGUUUUUCUACCUUCCCUGCAGGAUCCGAAACUUCCAAUUCAAGUUUCUUGCUAUAGAUAAGGUGUUUCGUAAGAAAACGUAAGUCUUAAAAGAGUUACAAGACAGCACCAGUUAUAUGGCCCUUGCUAGAUUCAUAGUUACUUUCCCAUGUACCGACUCUAAAGUGAAUGACUUUUUUUUUUCUUUGCAUAGCACUUUUUUUUUCCCCGAAAAGGAUAGGUAUCAAAAUGAUAUAUGUAUUUUAGGGCCAACACUCAGAACCACUUUUUGACCACUCAUAGUUUAGUUAAAAUCAAAUUUCGUUCUGUCUUUUGACACACUAUUUUCUCUGUCUAUUGAAAUGCUCUUCUGCUGUUGUUAGCACGCUUUCGUCUCUUGUUUUGCUUGUUGUUUAUUUUCUUUGAUUUAGUCAUUAUUGUAGUUAAGAACAUUGAUGAUUCUAUAGCAGACCUGUCACUGGAGUAUGAUGAAGAUGAAACCAUUCAAUUAGGGGCCGAAUCUUCAGAGAGUGAAACCUUGUAUGCUAAUUGUUUUGUAGGAAUGUUUCUUACCUCCAGUGUAGUUAAUUUCCAAGCGAUGAGAUUGACUUUGGCUAAUUUUUGGCAUCCAAUAGAGGGAGUCUCAAUCUCGAAUCUAGGCAAUGAAAGAUUCUUAUUCAAAUUUUAUUUUGAAGUUGACGUGGACAAAGUUGAAAAAAAUGGGUCAUGGAAUUUCAACUCUCAUCUAUUGGUGCUACAUCGGUUAAAGGAAGAGGAAGACCCUUUAUCUGUUCAAUUAAAUUGGGUAGACUUUUGGAUGCUUAUCCAUGAUCUUCCCCUUGGUUUCAUGUCUGAAGCGGUUGCUAGACAGUUGGAUAGUUUUAUUGGUGUUUUCCUUGAAUAUGAUGCAUCAACGACUCAGUUGGGUUAUAAAAGAAUAAUGAUGUUAAAUGUGCGAAUUGAUGUUAGAAAACCAUUGAAAAAGAAGAAGAAACUCACCUCUCGAAUGGUGAGUGGAUUUAUGUUCGAUUUGAAUAUGAAAAACUCAUUUUAUUUUGUUUCCUUUGUGGUAAACUAAGGCAUGGUAAAACUUUUUACCCGAUCAGAGCUCACAAUCCGCUACAAGAGUAUGUUUUCCGUUGGGAUAUAUCUUUACGUGCUCAGUUAAGGAAAAAUUUGGCUUGGAAGAGUAGAUGGUUGGUGGAGGAUGACGAUUGUGGUACUUUAAUUUAUGGAAACUAUAACACCCCUAACCCUUAUCCGUCGCCGGAACAGGGUUACAAAACAUUACCAGACUUUACAGAUUAAAUAUGAACAUUUCACAACUUUUAUUAUACAUGUUAAGAAUCAGUUAUAAAACACUCAUGUUGUCCCUUAGAUGGACCCUCAAGGCACAAUAUACACUUUAGAAAUGAAUUGGGACUAAACCGGAUACUUAGAGAAUUUUUCCUAAAAUCUCAAAAAAAUUUCUUAAAAGUAGGGGACACACGUCUGUGUGGCUCACACAGCCAGGAGACACACCCGUGUCUUAAGCCGUGUAGGCAUUCGAUGUGAGGCACACAACCGUGUCUCAGCCCGUGCCCUUACCCGUGUAACUCUCUGACUUGGGUCACACGGCCAUCCACAUGCCCGUAUGCUAGGCCGUGUGCAAGAUGUAAAGGUCACACAGCCAAGCCACACACCCGUGUGCUAAGCCGUGUGUAAAAACUUGAGCAUUCUGUUUUAAAAUUUUAAGGUGCAGGGGACACACGGCCAGACCAUACGCCCAUGUGUCAGGCCGUGUGGACGAAAAUAGACCAUUUUCAAUACAUCAAAUAGCCCCAAUCAAACAAUCAACACAAGCCAAAAAUCAUGUUUUAAACAUAAUAUAUCAUCACAAAACUCAAUUGCCAAAACUUACCAAAAUAACUCCGUUCAUUGAUUUACCAAAAUCUACUACUAAAUAUAUGCAUACUAACACAUAUAUAUGUCAUUCACAACCAUACUUCAAAUUUAGCUCUUUUCUAACUCGGCCCUAUACAUGUCAUAUAAACCAUAAAAUGUAUAACAAAAUCUACUGGAGCAAACUAGAUAGUGUGGCUCUAUGUGUUGAUCCGAUGCUUUAAACUUCUUAAAAAUCUAAAAAGAACAUUAAACGACACAGUAAGUUUAAUGAAGCUUAGCAAGUUCGCUGGCUUUAAAUAUAAAUCUUACCGAACAUACUAUAAUAAUUUAUUUAGGUAAAUUAUUUCACAAACAUUUCCUGCCAAUCACAACUUCAAUUAAUGAAUUCACUCAUUUGAGCUCAAUAUCAAUAAUAACUUAAAUUCUUCCACAUUAAUUCCAUUUGGCACUUACCAAUCAUUAUCAAACCAGAGAACGUCUUACGGAUUUGAGUACAUCGUAAAUAGAAAUCCAUAAGGGUUCAUCUAAAGCUCAAAAGAGUUAAACGGAAACCCAUUAGGGUUAAAUUGAAGCUCAAAAGAGCUAAACUGAAAUCCAGAAGCGUUAAUUUGAAACUCAUGAGUUUACUGAAGCUCGUGAGAGCUAAACGGAAAGCAAAUACGAGAGUUCGCAACAAAUGUUGAACAUCGGUUUACUUGGGUAAUUUUACCGUCAAUUCCUAUUUUGCACUAAACGACUAUACUCAAUCCUACGUUCCAUUCACUUCAAACACUUGAUGCAAUUUCAUAAAUUUAACAAUAAUUUUAUUUUCAACAAAUGUUACGAAUAAAUACAAAAAAUCAUUCAUCAAUUAACAUAUCACAUUAAAUUUUAACCAUUAGAACUUACCUGGGUUAAAUUGUGGAAAUUGUAAUGGUUCAGAGAUUAUUUGGCUAUUUUCCCAUUUUUCGCGUUGGUCUAAGGGCUCUUGAUCUAAAAUAUAAAAUUAUUAAUUCAUUAGCACAUGCUUCAAUUCUAAUUCACUUCACAAUUUAUACCACUCAAUUUUUGAAAUUAUACAAUUACCUCAACUUUUACAGUUUUUGUAAUUUAGUCCAUCGCCAAUUAACUCAUCAAAUAAGCUAAUUUUUCUCAAGUAACACUUUAUCUAAAUAUUUUAAACUAUUACACAGCCUUUGAUAAACAUAAUUUAAUACUAAACCCUAAGAUUUAAUUUUUUUACAAUUUGGUCCUAAAAUCAAUUUCCCUUGAAAGCACUUGAUAAAAUCAUCAUAUAACAAAAUUAAAACUUCAAAUCCAUGUUAAUUCAUCAUAAAAAUGCAGCACUCAUCAAUGGUAGCUUUCAAGAUUACUCAUAAAAUCAAAAACUAAUGAAUUAGAUAGUUAGACCUAAUUACAGAAGUCUUAAAAACACAAAUUUUAAGAAAAGAGCAAGAAUUGAACUCACAUGUAGCAAAAUAUGAAAUCCAACUUCUUAAGGGUUCUUCAAUGGUGUUUUUAGCUGAUAAAUUGAAGAAGAAUAACUUAGAAAAGUUGAGAAUUCAAUUUAUUUAAGUUUAUUUCACAAAAUUUACAAUUUUGCCCUUUAAUCACAUGAUUUUUGUUUUCUUUUCUGCUUAUGCCGCCUCAGGCCUUUGUUUUAGGCAUAAUUGCUCCUUAAGUCCUUCUUUGUUCAUUAAUUAAGUCAUUUAAUCAUUAUUUCUUUAAUUAGCAAGUUUUGCACCUUUUUCUAAUUUAAUCUUUUUUAAUUAAUUAACUAUCGAAACGUUAAAAUUUUCUAACGAAAUAUUUAUAAAAAUAUUUACAGCUCAGUUUAUAAAAUCGAGAUCUUGAUACCUCGUUUUCAAAACUAGUUAAUCUAACAAAUAUUUCUAAAGCAUAAAUCACUAAUUCAUAAGCCUUCUUAAAUUCAGAAUCGAAUCAAAAACACUAUAUAAUAAAAUUUAUGAAUUAAUUUAUCGGAUUUAGUGUUCUCAAACUACUAUUUUCGAAACUACUGAAAAUUGGACUGUUACAAAAACUCUAUAAAAAUACGGAAAGGAGAAAUUUUGAGGUUUCAUAAUCUGUUUGCAUAAAUCAAUGAGCAAAUUCAGAAUUUAUUUCCAAUUAUUCCCUCUCAACAAAAGGAAUGGUGAAUGUCUAGUUGACUUCAAGCCCAAUAAAUAUGGGUGAAAUGGGUCGAGCUUACAACGAAGCUAGGAACAUCUUUGAUGCGAAUAUGGCAAUUUAUGAGGAGGAGAAUAACCCAAUAAAAUAAAGUGAUGGGCUAAAAAGACCUUUUUUUAAGUCUACUUCAGGAGUUUCUAAUAAGGAAGAUUUGAAUGAAGUUUCGGGUACUCUAUUACAGGUACCAAAUUCUAGUAGAUCGCCAGGCCCUGCUAAGUGGGCUAGUCGGAUGCAAUGAAGCUGUUGAGUUGGAACAUUCAGGUAAAGGGGAGGUCUUGGACAGUUUGUUGUCUCCAGCAUAUGCUGAGAGAUAUAAAUCUCUCUAUAGUGUUCCUAAUUGAGAUGAAACUAUAGGGUUUUAAUAUGGAAGGAACAAGACGCAAAUGUGGAUUUCUUAAUGGGAUGGAUGUUGAUUCAUAUGGUAGAAGUGAGGGUUUAUCAAUGGGUUGGAGUAGCGAUUAUAAGAUUUGUCUUCGGUCUUUUUCGAGAAGGGACAUUGGCAUUAUGAUUGAUAAGGAUACUGAUGGUAAAACUUGGUGAUGUACGGGGUUUUAUGAAGUGCCCGAGGAGAAUCUGAGGAGGCAUCGUAAAAUUUAUUGCAUUCUUUAGAUGACUGCCCACAUAUCCCUAUGUUUGUAAUAGGGGAUUUUAAUGAAAUAGCUUAUUCAUCUGAAAAGAAAGGUGGAUUACUUCAGAGGGAGAGACAAAUGAGAAGAUUUUGGGAAGCUCUUUAUGAUUGCUCUCUUACAGAUUUGGGCUAUAGAGGACAAUGGUUUACCUGGGAAAAAGGUCGUACUCGAGCAAACAAUAUUAGGAAACGUUUGGAUCAAAGGGUAGCUAAUGCAGUUUGAUGGGAUUUAUUUCAAAAUUACAAAAUGCAUCAUCUCACGCAUUCUUUUUUAUUGCAAUCAGAUUUUGAAAAUAAUCAUGCGAAAUGGUGUCACUUCAAGUUCGAGGUUGCGUGGCUUUUGGAAGAAACGUGUGAGUCAAAUGUUCUAAAAUUAUAGACUGAAAAUUUGGGUGAUGUCCUUAAUAGAUUGAAGGUGUUUGGUGUGGGCCUUAAAGCGUGGUUCAAAAGGAUUAAAAAGAUAGGGGUUUGUCGAAAAAAGAUCUUAAGAAGCAAUUCAUUAAGUUGAACAAAUCAUACCUAACUGAUGAGGUGUUGGGUGAUAUUGUUGAGAUAAAACUAGCCCUUAAUAUGGAGGCCGGUAGGGAGGAACUCUACUGGGAACAAAGAGCCAGAGCUAAUUGGAUGAAAAAUGGUGACCGAAACACAAAAAUUGCAACAAAAAGAAGACGAAGGAAUAUGAUGGAUAAACUACUAGAUUUUGAUGAAAAUUAUUAUAAGAGCAAUGAGGAGCAGUUGUCACUUGCCACUGACUACUUUGCCUCUCUAUUCACUUCAACUAGAAUCGAAAAUCCAGGUUCUAUAUUAGAAGGGGUUGAGCCGUGCAUUACUCGAGCAAUGAACGAGGAACUUGCAAAGGAUUUUUCUUACGAGGAUAUUUGUAUGGCGUUAAAAUCAUGAAUACAUUAAAGACUUCUGGUGAGGAUGACUUGGGUGCAAUUUUUUAUCAAUGGUUUUGGCAUAUUAUGGGUAAAGAGGUAGCAAAUUAUUGUAUUGAGAUUUUAAAUGGAGGCACAAUAUCGCUGAAAUCAACCAGACACAAAUUGUUUUAAUCCCUAAGGUUAGCUGUCCAUGAAUUAUGGCUCUAUUUAAACCGAUUAGCCGUUAUAAUACCCUUUACAAAAUUAUUGCAAAAAUGCUAGUGAAUAGGUUUUAAAAAGUCUUUCACUAUUGUAUAGAUGAGGUACAAAGUGCAUUUGUACCAGGGAGGCUUAUCACUGAUAAUAUUUUAGUUGUCUAUGACGUUUUACACUCCAUGAAAAAGAAAAAGAAAAAGAUAAGAGAUGAAGGGUCUUUUGCUUUGAAGCUUAACAUGAGUAAAACGUAUAAUAGACUAAAGUGUGCGCUCAUUAAUGUCAUGCUUAGCCGAAUGAGUUUCUCGAAGUUGUGGGUUCAGAAAAUUAUGAGAUGUAUUGAAAUGAUUUCUUAUUCUGUGGUUAUGAGCGGAGAGGUGGGUAAUUUGUUUCUUCCUUAUCGGGGGCUUAAACAAGGGGGCCCACUUAAUCCUUAUUUAUUUCUUAUUUGGGGAAGGUCUGUCAUCUUUUCUUAGAAUGGCUGCUACAAGUGGGGAUCUCAAGGGUGCUUGCAUUAAGAGACACGCUCCAGUUAGCACCCACUUGUUAUCUUUGCAAAUGACAGUCUUAUCUUUGGAAAGGCCACAACAGAUGGGGCUAUGGUGCUUAAUGAAAGACUGGAGAUUUAUGCCAAUAGUUUGGGUCAAUUAAUAAUUUUUGAUAAGUCUGGUAUGUUUUUAGUUCCAAUGUUGAGUAGAAUAGCAAAAAAGAGGUUUAUCGAAUUUUAGGGGUUAAUCCAAACAUUAAUCCAGAAAAGUAUAUUGGUCUCCUUUAAAUCGUGGGGCAAAACAAAAAGAGGGCUUUUAGGGAGAUAAAAGAAAAUCUAAUUAAAAGAGUGUUUAGUUAGAGUUCGAGAAUGCUUUCGGUGGGUAUAAAAGAGGCCCUUAUCAAAAUAGUAUUUCAGGGAGUUCCCAUGUAUACCAUUUCUUAUUUCUUGAUGCCCAAUUCCUUUUGUAAGGAACUUGAAACUGUUAUUGCUAGAUUUUGGUGACAGAAGAAAGCUGGGAGGAAUGGUUUACAUUGGAGUUCUUGGAAACCAUUGUGUAUUCCAAAAGAGGAUAAAGGUAUGGGUUUCCGUAAUCUUUCUAAAUUUAAUAUUUCUUUAUUAGCAAAACAAUGUUAGAGAUUGAUGGAAAAUCCAGGCUCGUUAACAAGAUUAAUUCGAGAAAAAUAUUAUCACGGUUUAAAUUUUCUAGAAGCCCCAUUGGGCUCAUACCCGUCCCUAAUUUGGAAAAGUAUAUGGUGUUCCAAAGCUUUGUUAAAAUCUGGUAUUGGAUGAAGGAUUGGUUCUGGGCUAUCUAUCUUGAUAUGGCAAGACUAUUGGUUACCGAGGAAGAAUAGAGCACUAAUUACUACAAACAAGGUAGCAAGAUUGGAAUGUGUAAGUGAUUUGAUUCUCCCAAACCCAAAUAGAAGAGAUCGACAAUUAAUCUACUCAACUUUCACGGAGGAAGAAGGAAAUUUGAUUGUAAGAAUCCCUAUACCUAUCACUAAUCAAUCUGAUAAAGUAAUAUGGUCUAGAGAAAAAUCAGGUUUUUAUUCAGUAAAAAGCAGUCACAAAGCCUUCAUCGAACUUCUCAUUUGAGUACUAUUGAGCAAUAUAAUUUUAAGCAAAUUUGGAGUUUAACGUGCCUAUCAAAAAUUCACAUUUUAAUGUGAAAAUUUGCAAAUAUAUAUAUUCCUACUUUCCAGAAUUUGCAUUAUAGAAGAAUUUUGUCAGAGAAUAGUUACCCGCGCUGUCAGGAUUGUAGUAAAUCACAUGUUCAUGUUGCUCGAUACUGUGCAUUCACUAUGCAUGUUUGAUCAAAAUUAAAUUAUCAGUGGCCAAGUUCAAUGCGUCUAUGAGUUUUAACAACUGGUUAAACUGGCUAUUCAUAAAUUCAUCCAGUAACAGUAAAGGGGAAAUAGCCAUUACAAUUUGGGCAAUCUGAUUUUCCCGCAACAAACUGAUACAUGAAAGAAAAGUACAAAGUGUGGAGGAAGUUGUUACCUUUAUCAGGGGUUAUGGCAGGGAGUACAAGAGGCGUUUUGGAAUAUUACAACACCCCUGACCCAGAUAGUUGAUAAAAUGGGAGCCCCCCCUACGAAUUGGGUCAAAGUGAAUGUUGACGUCGGUUUCUCAGAGGCAAAACAACAUGCAACAUUGGGUUUCUUAAUUAGAAAUGAUGAAGGUCUUAAAAUAGGGUCGGGAAUCAGAACUCAUAACCUAGUUAGAUCGGUGGUGUUGGCUAAAGCGAUGGCUGCUCUUCACGGGCUCUAGUUUGCGUUGGAGAUGGGUUUCACGAAAAUUAUUUUGGAAAGUGACUCUAAAACAAUUAUUAAAAACCUCCAAGCAACAAAGGAAGACUAUUCAGAGAUAAGACCGAUUACUUGGGAUGUGAAGGCUCUUACAAUGAAAUUUUCUUCAUGUCAUUUUGAGUUCGUUGCGGGAGAAGGUAACGCAGUGGCGCAUGCGAUGGCGGUCGAAGGGAUGAGAAGAUCAGAAGACUCGUUCUGGGUUGAAGAUGCCCUAUUAAAAGCGAUGGAAAUGGCAGAUUUGGAUCGUCUUUUCAUCUGGCCACCAUAAUUUCCCUCCUCUGCUGCUCGCUGCUCUGGGUUGAGAACUUCUGAUAUUCUAAAGGUAUAUCUCAACUCCCUUCCAUUGUUUGCUAGUUCUGAUUACCAGAUCUCGCAAGGUUUUGGCUGUUUGGGUUUUCUGGUCACUGAAGGGUUUGGAAGAAGCUUCUAGAGUUGCAUCAUGUUUUAUUUUCUUUAUUUUAUCUGUUUGAACUUCAUUUUCUAUCUGCUUUUGUUUUGGACUUCCAAGCCCAUUUUAAUCAAAAUGAACCGUUUAUUCAAAAAAAAAAAUAACUUUUUGACAAAAAAAAUACUUUUAAGCAAAAGCUAAAAAUUUUUAGUUUUGCUUUUGAUAAAAAAAAUAAUUUUGUAAAAUAUUUUUUUAUCUCAAAAAUAUUUUUAAAAAGCUCAAAAGUAUAUUGUUUAGUAAUAUUUUCAAAUCAAAAGUAUUUUUUGUCUCAAAAAUACUUUUGAAAAGUAAUACUAAUCAGACUCAAAAGUAAUUACGAUUUUUUUGUGUCCUUAGACACCGAUAGACACUCAAUUUGAUUGUUGGAACUGAAAAAAAAAGAAGUGUUACUUUCAUGUAUUUUCCAAUUAUUAUAUAUAAGGAGAUGGUAGUGAAACACUUUUUUUUCUCAAUUAAAAAAAAAAUUUAAGUGAGUAGUUUAUGGGAGAGUGAGUAGUUUUCUUUUUAGAUCUGACUUUUUUAAAGGUUGGAAUUAAUGAAUAUAAAAGUAAAAAGAUUGGUAAAUAUUGAUUAUUUACUGUUUUGUUCUACAUUUUCUUGAUUUAUAUUAACUUUUAAAGAGAUUUUAGUAACGUCAGUUAAGACCAUAAACUUAAUCAGAAAUAGUAAAAAACUUUAUGGCAGAAAAAAGUAAAAAAUAACUAAAAAAGAAAAAGGGAACUAAAAUAUGAUAACCUCUUAAUCCACUAAUGAAAUAAAAAUUUCACUAUUUAUAAUCUACUUCCCUUUUCCGGGCCAGUGUUUCAAACUAGAAACUUCUUUGGGUCAUCUUCAUAUUAGAUUGAAGCCCGAUUUUAGGUUUAUGUACCAAAACCAAAAAUUAGUUAUGUUUGGUAAAUGAAUUUGAAUACAUGCACCACCACUCUCAAUGCUCACCCACCUAAGCCCAUGACAUAAACUGCAUUUAAGUGAACCAGUGGCAGUUGGAGCCAUUAUGUUGGUUGAAAAAUAUUGUUGGCAGUGUUAUUCAGCAGUACUUGUUCUAAGGCUCCUACUACAUUUCUCAUUAUAAAUGUGGAGAAAUCUUGUUCUACUUUCCAUUCCAUGCAACACUAACUUUUAGAUUCCCUUUCCAUUGCACUGCUCUUUCUUUCUAUAGAAUUAGUCACUCCUGUUCUAGAUGAAGGUUCUCUCCCCAAUUCUUGCUUGCCUAGCGGUAAGUUUUUCGAUUUCAUGUGAUUAUUCGUUGUUGAAUGCAAAGAACUAUGAAGGGUUUUUUUUUACCUCAACUUUUCUUGUUUGUUAUUUGUUGUUACAGCUUGCUGUGGUGGUAAGCCAUGCUGCUCUCUCACCUGAGCAAUAUUGGAGCUAUAAGCUGCCAAAUACUCCAAUGCCAAAGGCUGUCAAAGAAAUUCUACAUCCAGGUGAGUGUUUAAUAUCCCAAGAAUUCUUUUUUUUUUUUUUGAAUCAUGUUUACUCACCGACAAAACAGGACUACUGUGAUAUAAGCCCUCAACUUGAGAUGGUCAGGAAAGUGAGGACUGUAGAAUAUCAGACCCUGGUUUCCCAUAGAAUUGAAUUGAGCCUAAUGCAGCAAACAAUCAUGUAAUCGUGGAAGCCGGGUAAUAAUCAGAAAUGAGGUGCUUAACAUAGUUCUGUUCCUGCAAUUUAUUAAAAGAGAAAGAGCCAGGAUACUUUCUGUUUAGCAAUAUAUUUCAGAAAACAUAGGAAUAGGAUGUGUUCUGCACAUAUUGACUUAUUAUGAAAAAAAUUGUUGGAAUCAUGCAUUCAUCAGCAUGUAUAUGAGCUCUCUAGCCCAUUUUGGUGUAUUUGCAGAACUGAUGGAGGAGAAAAGCACCUCUGUAAAUGUAGGAGGUGGUGGUGUAAACGUCAAUACAGGAAAAGGGAAGCCUGGGGGUGACACCCAUGUGAACGUUGGAGGCAAAGGAGUUGGAGUGAACACGGGAAAGCCAGGGGGUGGCACUCAUGUGAAUGUUGGAGACCCUUUUAAUUACCUAUAUGCAGCCAGUGAAACUCAAAUCCAUGAAGACCCGAAUGUGGCUCUUUUCUUUCUGGAAAAGGAUAUGCACCCCGGGGCAACAAUGAGCCUGCAUUUCACUGAAAAUACAGAGAAAUCAGCUUUCUUACCUUAUCAAACUGCCCAAAAAAUACCGUUUUCAUCUGACAAGUUGCCAGAAAUUUUCAACAAGUUUUCAGUGAAACCUGGAUCACUGAAGGCAGAGAUGAUGAAGAACACAAUUAAGGAGUGCGAACAGCCAGCGAUUGAAGGAGAGGAAAAAUAUUGUGCAACCUCACUGGAGUCAAUGAUUGACUAUAGCAUUUCCAAACUAGGGAAAGUUGAUCAGGCAGUCUCAACAGAAGUGGAAAAACAAACCCCAAUGCAAAAGUAUACAAUAGCAGCUGGAGUGCAGAAGAUGACAGAUGACAAAGCUGUAGUGUGCCACAAGCAGAAUUAUGCAUAUGCUGUCUUCUAUUGCCAUAAAUCAGAAACAACAAGGGCUUACAUGGUUCCUUUAGAGGGUGCUGACGGAAC